UACAUGUGCUAGUCUAAUAUUCAUGUGUGUCCUCACAUGAACUCCGACUAGGGACAAUUUUAGAAUAACCAUACAAGUAAAGAGUUUCACAUACAAUUCACAUAAUUGCAAAUUAAUUCAAGUAGCCUUUAAUGGAUAUUCAAUGAACACAAUAUACAAAUCAUGGAUACAAAUGGAAUAUCAUCAUCUCUAUGAUUGCCUCUAGGGCAUACCUCCAACACAAAUUUCAAAAACUAGCCAAAGAAAGAAGCUAAGAAUUUAAAGAAAUGCUAGUUACCAACCUUAAAAUAAAAUGUUAACGUGUAUCCUUGAAAAAUGGAAGUUUUCUUGAGCAAUUGGAAGAAAAAUGACUGCAACAAUGGAGGAAGGAGAGGAGGCCAUAGAGUAGAAGGAGGAGGGGAGGAAGGGGGUUUUGUACUAUUGAGGGCUAUCACUGCCGGCCCUUAUUACGAGCCGGCGGUGAAGAUAGAUAUCACCGCCAGCCCUGUUAAAGAACCGACGGUGAUACCUUCACCGCCGGUUUUAACCACGAGCUAGUGGUGAAGGGGGCAUCACUGCCGGUUCUCUGCUCUAACACACACUCCCACGCGUAGCUGUUUGAGCCGGCGGUGAAGAUCCAUCAUUGCCGGCCCACCCAAAACCGGUGGUGAUGGGCCGGCAAUGAUGGUACAUUCUGUAGUAGUGGUUGUCUACAUUGAUCGCUCGGAAGCCUACAGAACUACAAACUUUACUUUGUGACGGGGAAGCAUACAGUAACGAGGUCAUAUGAUCCUUCUGUUCCAAUCAAAUUGCAGGUAAAACCCCGUGAAGUCUAAUUCCACGAUAAAAGAGCUCUGUUUCCCCAACUCUUUCUUACAGAAUUGCUCAUCACUACUACAUUUCAAAACUUUGGUUAAUUUUUUAAUUAUUAUAUAUGUUGAUUUUCGCAGUACAGGUAAUUUGGGUCCAUCCGGACAAGGGGUUUAUUAUUACCCCUCCGAUCCAUUGAGCAAUGGUCCCGCGGUCCUACCUAAAAAGGCAGCAUGCUUGUACGAAUAUUGACCGAUUGGGUGCCAUCCUAUGUUUCCAUAGCCAGAGCCCUGCUGGUUUUCACAUAGAUUGCCUUGUUGUUUACAGGUACCCAUAGCACUGUAGUGUGCACAUUUUAAUAUGUGUUUUGGUAAGAUUACAAAUUAAGCUAUUCGAACACAAAAGGGGCACUCUGGGAUUAUUGCAUGCGUGGUACCUCACAUGGGCCAUGAUACGCGUCGUUUCACUAUUGCAUAGGAUUUCCUGUAGCAUGGUGAGUACAUGGCAAUAAUUCACGAACAAAGGAACACAGUUCUGCUAGCAAGGUGAGUACAUGGCAAUAAUUCCAAAUGUCAACAAAAUGAAAGGUUUAUGAAUUGGGUGUAGUUUAGUUUGUAGGUUACUUGUGGUGGACAACAUAACUACUUGGGUUUGAGUCUCCAACUUAGCACUGGUGCUCACUUUUUCGACUAUUUUCUCUUCUAGUGCUAGGUGAUGUACCUGUCAAUCAUCCAUGAUGACAGUUCACAACCUUCAACCAUUAAUAAGGAAGCCAAGAAGUCAAAUAUUUCUCAAAAAAGUGAAAUGAUAGAAUUGACUUUUCCCACAGCCACUAUUUGGACGAGUGAAUGAAACUAAGCGCAUAGCCAAUUAAGGCCAUUCUCAAUGCAAGUGUCAUAUGAGUUUCAUUCUCAUUAAAUGGCUACCACAUAUGCAAAAGUGAUAACAUGACAUACAAUUUAUGAGGAAAGAGAAGAAUAGAGUUUCACGGGGAUGAAACUUGGUGUACUCGGUUACCAAAACCUUGAAACUAAGAUGAAACUCCAUUGAGAGGAUUUGAGUUUCAUCUACACACAUUCAUCAACUCCUAUUGGUCACUUAUAUGGAACAUUUAAAUGAGGUGCUAACAUAUGAAACUGUGAAACAAAACUUUACAUUGAGAGACCUAGUUUCAUACAUCAACUCAAUGAUCAAUAGAUGACAUGGCACUCUUGGAAAUCACGCGAUGAAACCUUACACCGAGAAUGGCCUAAUAGACAUCCAUCCACGACUAGCAAAGAUUUUCAUGACCGUUCCCCCCCCCCCCCCAAAGUACGGCACCCAACCUUCAUGUUUGCCUAAUUAACCUCCAAUUAUAGCGAGGACCAUAAGCACGUCCAAUGUGUUGCCUUGACAUAAUGCUAUUUUUCACGUAAUGAUUCAUUGUUUCGAUGGCAUUCACAUGACAUCUUUUGGUAGUAUUUUCUGAAAAUGAUGUUAUUCAGUGUUUCGAAUUACUACUUCUAUACCUACUUCCAUUUAGGUUUAAUCAAAUUAUCCUUUGUUAAAAUCACUUCAAUUACUGAAGAUUAUCCUCUACUACCUCAGGCCUAAUUUAUUUGUGAAAGACAAGCUCUGUGCUAUAUCUUGACCAACACUUAGUCAAAUUGUAAAGUAUGUUACUCUGUUAAGUGUUUAAAAGUUAUACGCUCAUAUCCGAAAAUGCUUUCAUACUAUAUUAGUUUUGUAUGCAACUAUAAAAUGAGUAAUGUACACUAUGAGAAAACAGUGGUCGAAGCUUUGAAGACCGAGGGGAAACUAAAAAUGUCUUGUAUUGUUGAAAGGAUGGAGUAAUUCAGAAGUUUUUAUAUAUGCACAUUCAUGUCAGCUCAGCCGCACUGCCCUGCCAAAGUUAUAUGUAUGCUGCUUUCUCAUGCUUUGCACUGCCAUCUAUAGGUUGGAUUUUGGACUCUGUAGCCAUUGCUGAUAUCGUUAUGGGAUCAACAAAAAGACUGGGCUGUGGCGUUUGCAAAUUGCAUUAGACAGGUUAGAAGAAAAUCUAAUAAGACCAUCAUAAUUCUUGCUUGGAAAACUGUCCCACCUGGAGGCCCGUCAAGCGUCAAGGGCUUGGGUAAAGUUCCUAAAUGUGUCUAACCUGGAGGCCCAUCAAGGUUUUGGGGCCUCCAAGAAAGGAAAUUUACGUCUGUCUAAGCUGGAGGCCCAUAGGCCUCUCGAACGAAAAGUAAGAAAAAUAUGCCUACGUCUGGAAGGCCCAGUAAUAUUCAGGUCAAUGAGCCCACCGAAACGGGUAAAGCUUGAUUUGAGAACUUUAUGCCAUUUUGAGUUACAUUGUUCAUACGUAAAGGGCCCUGUUCGGGGAGGUAAAGCCCCUGUUCUCUCUAUAUAGAUUGAGAAAUACAUUGUUGAUCUAUUUUUGGAAGAGAUAGUUUCUAUCAAAAUCAUCCAAAACUUUUUCGAACUUGAAGCACAUCAGCAGUUGGUACGAGAUACUUCUUCUUUUGUUUCUAGACAUUUAGCCCUUUUAUUAAGCACCUUUUGGUACACGAGCAGUUUCUGCUAGUUACAGGUAUUUUCUCAGAAGAGACACACCUCACUCAAGUGGGAAUAGAAAAAAAAAAGAAUGCAGGUGAAUCAGCCAAAGAAUACAGUGAUCUUGCACAGCCAUACACGCACAAGUACAUAGCGUACAUACAAGUUACAACCAAGCUAUGCUAUCACGUCCCGGUCCAAAACAAUCAAUCAAUCUACAAACUCCACACCACAGGAGCGAUAUGAUCAGGCGACCCUGCAGUUGCCCCUGAUCUUGCCGCUGCUUCCGGUGAGCACGCCGACGGAUCCCAUCUUCACCAUGGCGGCGGCGAAGUCGCUCUGGAACGUGGCCGGGUCGUUGGCGUAGGUGACGACCUGCACGGCCGUGUUCUUGUCGCUGAGCAGCGCCUGGUCCGAGGACAGCAGGCCGCGGUUGGCCAUGACGCCCUUGUAGAACCCCUCGUCGAAGGCGUUGGGGGAGACGUAGUCCAUAGGCACCAGCGGGUCCCCUCCCUGCGGGCACUGCCUCGCCAGCUGCGCCACGUAGGCCGGGUCCAUGGUGGGGUCCUGCCCCGCCGUGGUGCCCGACCGCGACAGCCGGCUGCUGAAGGAGCUGCAGUGCGAGGAGCCGAUGGUGUGCGCGCCCGAGAGCACCACCAUGUCCUUCUGCGUUAGGCCCUUGGUGCCGAAGAUCUGCGUCAGCUGCGCCACGUUCGCCGUCGGCGGCGGCAGGUUGCCGCCCGUGUCCGACGCGCGCGACACGGCGCCGUCCCGGCGGCCCGCCGGCACCUGGUACGCGUUCCCGCCGGCCUGCACGCACGGACCCACAAGCAAAGCAAGCAUGAGUACCACGGAUGAUUCCUAAGGAAGGGACGCGACAAUGGCGUGCGUGCUAAGCGUGGUGCGGUUGGACCCAUACAGGCAUCGAGUUCUUUCUGGCGUGCGGGCAGCUGCCUCUGCCUGCGCCCUGCGCGCCGCGGCGGCAUCAUUUGGGCCAUGUUUAGUUACUUCCAACUCCCAACUUUGACACUAUGCAAAAAGAAGAUUCCCCAUCACAUCAAACUUGCGGUACAUGCAUGGAGUACUAAAUGUAGAUGAAAUUAAAAACUAAUUGCACAGUUUUGUUGUACUUUGCGAGACGAAUCUUUUGAGCCUAAUUAGUCAAUAUUUGGACAAUAAUUCACAAAUACAAACGAAACGCUACAGUGUGCUACAGUGCUGUAACAGUAAUUUGGCACCUCCCAAAUUCCCCAACUAAACACGGCCUUGGUGGGGGCGCGCAAUGUGCCUCAGAAAAGUCGGGGACAGGGGUCAGAUUAACUUUUCUUUAUACUGUCUAAUCCUGCGUGCUAGAUUCCAAAUUCAUAUCGGCAUGUCUGGUUUUAAAAGUCUCGCCAUCACUGAAGCAGGGGGAGACCAGCACCGUCCACUGACAGUGACAAUACCAAAGCGCCAAGUUUAGUUUAGUAUUGACAAAUGCAGCUUUGCAGUGUACUCCCCCAAAGUGCGAGCUUAAACUAACGGGUGAAUCUAGGUUCAAACUCACCAGCGCAACGCUGUCCCUGGCGGCGAAGGCGAGUAUGUCCGCGCAGGAGACGACGCCGGAGCAGGCCUGCUCGACGCGCGCCUUGAUGCGGUCGACGACCUCGAAGCCCCGCAGGCUGGUGUUGGGCCCGGCGUCCUUCUCCGCCGUGUUGCCGGGGGUCGAGUCGAUCAGCACCGACGCGUCGCACCCCUGCAAUCGCAAGUCCGCAAACCGCUAGUUCAGCAAAGCAUCCACAGCUGUAGUGCUUUCUGCAGAUGGAAGAUGGACACUACUGACCUUGACGAAGCAGUCGUGGAAGUGGAGCCGGAGCAGGCCGGCGGCGAGGCCCGGGUUGGCGCCCACCGCCUUGCUCACCUCCUGCUGCACGAUGAUCUCCGCCGCCGGGCAGGAGUUGUCGUAGAACCCCACCCGCAGCUGCGCGCGGAGCCCCGUCGCCGUCAGAAGCACCACCACCGCCGCCACCUGAAAGUACAGUGCCAUCCUCUGCACCGCCAUGGCCGCUAUCCCUAUCAGGCGCGCCACUCGUUCUAACUCUUUAUGGCGCUGCUAGAAGGUACCUGCGCUUUUAUACUCGCACUGAGAGCAGGGAGGCACACACCAAUCAGUAGCUAUCUAUAUGCUUCUUGGUUAAGGAAGGCAAAGGCACCUAAGCACCGAGCUUGAGACUGGGAGCGAAGUGUGUGUAGUCUAAUCUAGUAUUUAACAAUGCGGAGGCCUGGAGGGUUUAGGGGAUCUCGAGCGUUGUGAUAGGGGCCGGACCAGCGAGUGUGCCAUAUGCCGGGCAUGUGCGGAGGGGAUAGGUUGGUAGAGAGCAGACAGCAGAGCUGUGGUGCCCCGCCAAUUGGGGCCGGGGAGGCGGGCUUUUCUUCCAUGAUUGGAGGGCGAAAGGCGAGAGACAAUGAGAUCUGCAGGGCUCCGAGGUGUUCUUUUACCUGCGGUACAUGGUGCGCCGGAAAGAUGGAUACUGUAGUGUAGAGCGCCGAGUUCUGAACUUCUGAUACUGCAUCUGCAUCCACGAGGUGUUUGGCAGGGACGCCAUUUGCGAUGAAGUCAUGGUCACAUCUUUGCAUAUUCAAAGGACUCGUCGUUGGUCUUGUACUUGAGUAGGUGGUGAUACAGGCCGACGUUGACAUGAUGGACUGUGAUAUUCGGCCUUCUUUUUUACAUUAUUAGGAUGUGCUGCUAUGACUGAAGAUCGACUGAAGUGUGACUUGUGUCUCGUUCAGUAACAUUUUCUUUUGAGGGCACUCGUUCAGUUACAGUUGGUGCGACCAGUAGUCUGAUGAAUCUGAGCUGGUAGUCCUAUUGUUCUAAAUUUCUAAUGAAGCGAUAAUUGUCGCCAUUAGUCUGAAUCCGAGCUGGUCCAUCCAACUGAUCUUAUAUGAAACGUAGAAUGGUCCAAUUCGCACCUUUCCACUGUUUCCAGUUUUGCGAUAUGUUUGUUUUCUGAAUGGACCGAAGCAUCAGAUACUCGAGGAAUAUCAAACCCUGGUUCCUGACAACUAUUCUCCAGGCACUGUAGCUGCAGAUGCUUCACAGCUUGAAAGAAUCCUGGGAGGAUAGGAUUUGCAGGGAAUGCAUGAUUGACCCCUCGCAUUGCCUGGUUCAUGAACGCUGGCUUGCUACUGAUCCGAAUGAUCUCUCUCAUGACGUUCACCGCCAAAGCAAAGAUGCUUCCGCUCAUUGCUCACAAUUGACAACGGGGCCGGAAAGGCUUGGUUUGGCUGGCAGGGCGGCGAUAAGUCAAGGAAGAUUCCUCGCCACAUUGCUGCCGAGCUGGAGCUUGUUUUAGCCGCUGGCGACGCCCAUGAGUUCAGAUUUCAGACUAGCUCCGGACUCCGGAGUGAUCGGUGUAAACGAAAAUCGGUGAGGUUUAGCCGCACUACAGAGAGAUAAUGCAGUUAUUGAGUCAAGUGGGAGUAAACUUUUGUCCGACAACAGGCGCUGAUCCAGGAUUAACGGCUAAACUAGCUACUGACCCUGGGUGCCAGGGCUAGUGGCGUCUGAACUCUGAACAGGCUCACUGAAUCACUGAAGCUGCACAUGGUGAUCGUGUUUGGUAGAGCUCAGGCCGUGACAAGAUCCGCCGGUGCUGAGGACCCCUGUCGUCUGGGUUUGACCUCUAGGUGAAGACAGGGAAUCAAUCGUUGCAAGGAGAUGGAUCAGAGGGAUCUGGUUCGCUGCAAUUAACAAUUCGGCGUAAGUGUAGUAUGUACUCCGGCCACACAUUCCUACUCUAUGCAGUGGCAGAAAUGGCACCAUUUGCGGCACGGUGAAUCCAAUGUCAGUUCAGCCACUCAUACAGCAGCAGCAGCAAAACCCGGAGAUCUCUAGCAGCUCUGUUGGUCCGGUCCAAAAGCAAUACGAACCGCGUCUGCUCGAAUUAUUGCUGUCAAGCUAGCUUGCAGCCUUGCUGUGUCCAUGGGGGUCCGGUAAUCUUCUUUCAGUACAGCUAGGGCUGCCUUUGAUCCAUGGCCAUCCCUCCCUUUUUUUUUUCUUCUUUCGAACUGAUUAUGACCAGCCUUUUCUUAUCUCUCCUUCCAGACUACCUUGCAACCUGGCAUCGGCUCGCUUUGUAUGCAGCGACAUUAAAGCCUCGCGGCCGGACCUCGCUUGUUGUAUGGACGGGACAGCCUGCGCGCUCGCUCGGCGCCUCGCACAUGGCAAAAGCGCGAACGCGCGUACGGGUGAUCUGGUCCGUCGGCCAAAGCGGCCGCCUGGCCUGUGGCCAGGAACAGCACUGGUUGUUGCUGGCUUUGGAAAACCACGAGCCUGAGCAUGCCUGUUCUUGUUCACACGGUUAUCCCGCGAACGAGAUGAUCAGCCGCAUCCGCCGCCGCCGCCGCCGAACUGUACAUGUGGGGCGCGAGAGGGAGAGCGUUCUUCGCGUAUGGAAGCGAACGGGCCCGUCUGUGUUUCGGUCCGUUCUUGCAACCUAUCUGGGCCAGUUUUAUUUAGGCCACAACGCAGGUCCAACCGCCCAACGAGUACCGUCGCGACUUCGCCAGCAGGGAAAAAGAGUAAAAUACACAAUCUUGUCCCGUGGUCUCAUCCCGAUCCUGAACUCUCAAAAUAUACUCAAAGUGUGUAUUCAGAUCUCCAAACUCAUCCUCAAAUUUCAUCCAGCUUCCUAAACUCUAAAAAUACAUUUUUAAAUCUUAAAAUUUGUCACCUGUCGCUGAUGGUAAUACUUCUCCUCGCUCGUUGCCUUCACAACCACCUUAUGCUAGUGUACUUUAAGAGUUUAAAAAUUUGGAUGACACCCUAUUGAGUUGAGAGGACCUAAAAAUAUAUUUUUAGAUGGCAUCUUAAGACAAGUUCAUUGGUCUGAAAAUGUAUUUUGAGAGUUCAGGAAUCUAACUGACACCCAUGACAAGUUUAGGUACCUUCCGUGUAUUUUACUCUAGCGAAAAAAGUGCGUCGUUCGGUGAAAAUACGUGGUUGAGAUUUUGAGUACAAAUACAUAUCCUUCUCUUUUUACUUUUUUCUAAGAAACAGAUGUCGUCACUGUUCACUCAUUUGUCAACCGUGAGUUUCUUGUUGGCACAUUGUUGACGGCUGUUAGCAUGCUAAUUUUUGAACUGCAAGCGUACGAAUCAGUUAUAGAUCUUCCCUCAGAGUAUUCCCCCAAGGUUUAUCAAUCUAUGAAACUUAUAGCACAAGAUCUAUUUCAACUAGCAUUGUUAGUAUUAACUUGGUGUUUAUGAGAGAUUCAAAUCCAAUCUACUAAGCAUGUACAGACAGAUAAUAGAUAGAGUAAAGGUAACUAAUCUAGAGCAACCUAGACUAUGCAUAUAUUGUAAUUCUGAGUAUGGAUAGGAAAGCAACAUAGAUAUGAUCUUAGUAAAAAGCAUCUUUAAAUCUACACCUCCGAUCCAGAUCCCGAAACCCCCUACCUUACACAAGAAAGAUCCUGUCACGAUCACCUCUAUCAGCGCAAGCAGGUUAAGGGCAUGAUCAUAAGAACAUGUCAUACUCAUUGGUAGAUCAGGCAUGCAAAUCUGGUCACCAUGACCAUAAGAACACCCUAGGCAAUCUAUCAUCGAUUCAUAGAUUGAAAACUAAGCAAACCUGAUAAAGCAUAAAACCAUCAAAGGAGAUACUUAGAUCGCUAAGAACAUGAACACAUCUAUUAUUUCACCAUGAAUGAUUGUAUAUCACAAGAUCACCACCGGGAUCCUACCUUGAGCUUGAUGACUUCUAGCUCCAGAACUCCAGCAUAAUCUUCCUCGCAGGGUGAUCACGCCGGCAGAGGUUCGCCUACGCUAACCCCCGACAAUUACACGGCCGUUGGCUCUCCAGAGAGGUGUCCCUCAAGCUCCUUCUGCUUCUCUGCUGCUUCAUGUCGAGUAUGGCGUCUUGGAUAUGGGGCUCGGUGGAUUUUUCGAGGUAUCUAUAGUUUAGAGAGCGCGUGGCAAAAAUUGGAAGGCGAGAAGAUGAAGGAAACCCCCAGGUUGAUCGAUCUGAGAGGGUCCAGGUUGAUCGGCCUAUGCCUUCCUUUUAGCCCCUCGCAUCCUACUUCGUCUCCAAGGCUUCUCAGGUGCUCUGGAAUCUUCUUUUCACUUGCAUGUAGGCCUGGCACGUCAAUUGCUUCGGGAUGAGAUUGAUCUUCAAUGACUUUCCAAACCUUCGCUUGAUCUUUUCCGAUUCCUCUUUGAUCCCAAGCUGGUCCUUGCUAUAUCUUCAUAAACUUAUCCCCUAAGCAAUGUUGAAGGGUUGCUUGCCAAAGAUGGGCACCAGGGGUGCCAGAAGAUGCCAAGCCGAUCGGCCUGGGCUCCUCUAGGCCGAUCGGCCUAGCCCCUUCCUGGGCCUGUUGACCUUCAUCUUUGUCUGUUUCGAUGCUUGUUCAGUGCUUUAUCCAAAAAUAUGCUUUUAGGCCUAAUUUCUUGCAAAAACACAACAUCCUCCAAAAUACAUUACACAUGUGAAGAUGACCGGUUUAUUAGGUGUAAUCAAUAGUUUAGGUAUUAAAUUCAUGUCAUUAUUGAAAAUAAAUAGAGGUAAAAGUGUGUCAAUAAUGAGAGUCAACACAUAUCCUUGAUUAUUAAAAGCAUGACUAUGCAGAUGUAGAGGAUACACCCAAAUUAUCAAUACGUGCAAAAAGAUGAAAUUUUGUUAUGUGUCCAAAAUAGCAAUGACAGAAAAAGAAAGAGAUCAUACAAAAAAGGAAUCCAAUCGUACAUUCCGUGAGCCACUUGUGAUCGAUCACGUCCGGACCCUCCUGUAGUUGACUCGGACCUUGCCAAGGUAGCUGUUGUGGAUGUCGCCCUAAAGCACCUAGGCGUCAUCUAGGCCCUUUUGCACCUUUGGUAAGGGUGUGUUUUGGUGAUAAAUAACAACCGUUUACUUAUGACUAACCCAUAUGUUUUGAAGAGAAUCUAUAUUGGUUAUCAUGUCAUAAGUUUAUUAGAAUAUGGCCCCUCAAUUGGAAUUGGAAAGCGGACAUGGAGCUAAUGCAACAAGGCAAAUGACCUUUUUAGUACUAUGUGUCACAAGGAGAUGAAGGACACUUAGUGUAGCAUAGGUUUUACUAGUUUGUAGCUCAUAGACUGUACUAUCGAGUGGGGUUUCCAUGAUAAUAUCUUGACCUUGCAAGGCUAGCCAUGAAUAUGAUGCAUACUCAGUAUACUUUGACACUUGGUAGCUUAAAUAACUCAUGGAAGAACUCAAGAAGCAAAGAAAUCGAUGAAAAACUCAAAGGAGAUUGAAUUGGAUGAGUUGAAAAGAAAAGGAGCACUACAAGGUUUUGCCUCUAAUGCCACGCCACAUGAUUGCAACACCACUAAUUUGGUUGCCAUAGGUGGGUCAUAUUGCAACCUUUCCAUAAAGUGGUUGCAAUAUGUGCCUAUGGACUAAAUGUGUUGCAAUAUGUGUGGUUUGUCGUUGCAACAGGCAUGUGCUACUACAACCAUUUAAGAAUUGUGUUGCAAUUAGUUGGCAUUAUUGCCAUGGCACUUUUGAGUUGAAUUAAUAUUGAUUUUCGUUGCAAUUACUUGGAUUUGGUUGUUUUUGCUUGUAACUAUUGCCAUGGUUGUUCUAGGUUGCAAUAAUCUUCCAAUGGUGUUGCAAUUGCUAGGGUGGUUAUUGCAACAAGAAUUCUGAAUGGAUGCAAUAGCAUGUUCUAUUGCCACAGCUUUCUGGGGUUGUAAUAAUCUUCUAUGGCAUUGCAAUCGUUAGAUACUUAUUGCAACUACAAUCCUAAAUGGACGCAAUAUCAUGUUAAUAUUGCCAUGAUUUUUUUUGUGUUGCUAUAGACUACCCCUGAUGCAACGGCCUAAAAGUGUUGCAAUAUAGAAAAAAAUGGUUGCAAUAGACAAAAUGCUCCACACAUUAGACUACCCUUGAUGUAACGGCCUAAAACUGUUGCAAUAUACCAAAAAUAGUUGCAAUAGACAAAAUACUUCACGCAUUUCUGAAUAAGAUCUUCUAUUAACAAAAAAAAUGCUCCACGCAGGAUUUGAUCCCAGGAACUAUAAUACAAGCAAACCCUCAUGUACCACUGGGGUACUGAGGUGUGUUCGACAUUAAGCAGCCUUUAUAUUACUUGUUUACAUGAUGAAGAUGGCUAAUUCACUUCAUUUUUCAACAAGGACGAUCACCAUCCGCAUCUUCCAUGACAAUUUCAGAAAACAAAAAAAAUUGUCUAGCUUGCUGAUAUUUUUGCUUAUAAUAGGAAAUAAACAUGAGCAUAAUAGUUUGAAGACCAACUGCAGCUAUUUAUUAUCCCGGACAAUGUGAUAGUUUUCAACAAAAAAUCCAAAAAAACAUGAUUGUUGAACAAAGGAUAAGUAUUUAAACAAAGAAAUCAUCUUCUAGGCUUUCUACCACAACUGGUGCAACAACUCCAUCAUCAAUGUAGGUGUCAUCUUCGUCAUCAUCAUCCUUAUCAAGUAAAAUCGCAUCAUCUGGUUCGAGAACUGCUUCGCCACGCACCGGAUCAAUAACAAAGGCAUCACCAGUUGUUCCUUCCUUGUCUGGUCUUGUCCAAUUUGACAAAUCCUCAUUUGGGCCUAAUAAAUUCAUGUCUUGGAUUUCCACAUCAAGUAGAUCGACUUUUUGUGCGGCCGGCACAUCAUACCAAUCACACUGAAACAAUACAACUUCUUUUUGUGCAGGGAACUCGUGUGAGAUCAUUCUUCUAAUCACUCCAUACCACGUCAUGUUGCCAGUAGUACCAUCACCCCUCACAAGCACACCACUGUUUUGUGUGACGAGGUUUCUCUCAAUGGUAGUCAUUCGAAAUAGCCAUUUAUUGAUGUAGCAUCUAUUGAACACAUGAGCUCGAUGGUCCGGUCCUUGAGAAAGGGCAUACAUCAGUUCACUCACUUCCCCUUUCUCAUAUAGUUUGGUGAUCUGCAAACACAGUUUGAAAACAAAUGGCAGUUAAUAAGUACAUCAUUCUAAACAUCACAUGGAAUAAAAAAAUUAAAAAAAUAGAACUAACCUUGCCCUCGAACCACCUUACAAAGUGCUCCUCGUGUCGUUUAUUAAGAUUCCUUAUACUAUUUUUUUUAGUUCUUCCAUAUGCUCGCUGCAUCGAAAUAGCCAAUUAAUUAAUUAGUUGAUGCUAGAAACAAAAGGUAGAGUAAUUAAUGAUCUAGCUUCAUCGCAGUUACAUUUAUAGUUUACACUUGUGACCUAUUGUCUGCAGGUGCAUAUGGCAGCCCUACAAAUCAGAUAGAUUUACUAGAUUCAAGUCAAGAUAGCAAUCCAACACCACCUCUGAACAAACCAUCACAUGCACGAUGUGAGAAAACUCAGGGAGAUAGUAAGUGAUGCUUAUUGUGAUUUUAUUUUGAUGUUCAAUUCAGUUUUCCCUAUGUACAUGAUUUUGUUUAAUCUCUUGCACCGUGUAUUGUUUCGAUGGACAAGACUCCCAAAAGAGGAAGGCACGAGGUACUGUGAAAGGAUUGGCAGCCACCCACAAGAGAUCCAAGUAGGGCAGUUAGAAGCUUAAAGUCCAAUUCUCUAGACUUGGAGGAGCUGUAGGUGAGAACACACGCACAUUUACUGAUGAAAUAGUAGUGUACACAAGGAGAAAAGCACCAUUCAUUGGGGUGAGAACAUGGAAGGAUAUCCGUAAAGAUGUAAAAAAUUCAAUAGUAUCUGAUAUGAUGGUAAGUUUCUGAUUUAUUUUUGCUAGCAUACAGAAUUUUGUUACCAAAUUAUUUAAGAAGUGACCUAGAAUUUAUGUUUUACAUGUUGAAGAGCAUAAGUGGGACAUUGAGAAUAAUGAAGAAAACAGGAAAAAGAUAUGGACCAUCGCUAAUGAGCGUUACAAAGGAUGGCGAGCAACAUUUAGUGCUACGUACAGGGCGUACACCACCUAUGAGGAGAGAAUAAGACAUAAGCCAGAAGAGUUGGACAUUGUUGAAUGGCACUAUCUGGUUUUGUAUUUUGGCAAGGAACAUUUUCAGGUUUGAUGACCUUUACUUUAUUCUUGCCAUUUGCACUUAAUGAAAUAAAGGCUAUGUUUUGGUAGAUUGCAAUAUUUUUUUAGAAUCAACUCCUUGUGCAGAGGGUUAGUUGCAAGAAUUCUCAGAAUCGGCAGAAUGUAAAGGUACACCAUCGGGCAAGAUCAAAGACGUUUUCUCAGUGUAGCUUUGAGAAGGUAAUAACUUCAGAAGCACAUGACCAUGCUUCCUUACAUUUUGAAAUAUCACUAAUUUGUUACAUUCUGCCAAAUUAGAGGGACCCAAUAAUUGGUGAUGAGCCAAAUGAUUUGGAGCUUUUUAUGUUCACACAUAGUAAGAAUGGGCAAUGGACAAGCCAAGAAUCUAGAGAUGUCUAUGUGAGUGUAUAACAAUUUGUACAAACCUUAUUAACUGAUGCAAAGUGACCGCCUACAAAAUCAUUUUCAAUUAACUACUUCAACUGUCCUCCUUUGUUAGGAUAAUGCAAGCAGCAAAAUUUCGGAGAGGGAAACAGAUGGAGAUGCAAUCAUCAUCUCAGAUGUGGAGCAAAAUCAGAUUUUCCAGUCAGCCUACCAGGAAACAAGAAACUGCAAAUCAACCAGGAUCUAUGCUAAUGGAUACAUGGCAAAAUACCCAACUAGAAGGCAACUACUGUAUGAGGAUUACUAGUACCAAGUGCGUCAGGACGCGACACUAGUCGAAGCAUUUUCAAAGCUACAAGAGAGAUUAGAAUCUCAAGAAGCUGAAAGGGAAGCUGAAAGGGAAGAACAUAAGCGUCAAAUGGAAGAAAUGAUGAAGGCAAGGGAGGCCGAUAGAGAAGCACUUAGGCAAGAGUUUAUGUCAAUGAUGCAAGCAGCACAUGUACAAGCAUCAAUACAACAGGUAAUAGUAAUGUCAAAUCUUAACUUGACCAAUAGAUUUAGUUAAUGUGUUUAUCUAUCUCUAGGACCUAUACAUGCCCGCUGGUUUAAUCUUUGAUAGUUUGUUUAACUGAAAUCAUAUGCUCGGGUAGUCGGCUACAAAUCAUGCAUCAUUUUUGUAGUUUCAAACUCCACUCAUGAUUUUUCUGACCAAAAUUGAAAUGCAGGCUAACAAAGAUGGGGGACAAAAUGCAGAGGUUGUUGCUACAACAAACAUGGAUGAAGAAAAUGUAACUAUAGAAAGUGAAGAAAUAUCACAUUAGCAGGUAGUUUGAGAACUGAAGAGUGUUUAAUGUUGUCAUGUGAUAGUCCUUGGUAUGAGGCCUAAUUUUCCCUCCAUCUAUUGAUUUGCAAGAAAACCAAGAUAGCAUCCCACCACAAAUACAACUCGUAGCUACAACAGCGGCAGGUACAAGUACUGCUCACACAACUAGAAAUAGUGCUGUGAAUAAGACACAAACUGGCCAAAACAAAGGAGGGGAUACGACAGUUAGUUUUACUACAACAAAAGUACUGAAGGAUAUUGUGGGUAAUAAGAAACGAGCAUUAGCCAAAAGGAAUCAACAUGCUAGCAAAGCACAGGUGAUUUUUGACUCCACUACCUGUGAAUAUUUCUGAAUCAGAUUUAGUUGUCUAAUUGCUGUUACUGUAAAGUGAAAUGAUACUUAGCUGAAUACUAAGUUGUUGUUUGCUGAAUAUACCAAUGCUAAUGAUUUUUUCAGGAGCAAGAUAGAGUUUGAGUGGAGCACACAAUUGAUGGACGGUCAAUGUCAAGCCAACCUUUGCUACAAUGCUAGACAUAGCUUAGUCCAUUUUGAUGUUCAAAUUAGCUAGUGUGAGUUGGAUACCUUAUGUGUUUCAAUAGUUGUGCGUGUGUUAUCGACUAAGUUUGACAUUGGAUGGUUUCAUAAAUGAUUUGUACGGACAAAGCACAUUUUGGAUUAAUGGAUGUCUAAAUGCUUCUUUCAUCAUAUAUUGUUCGGCAUGCAAUUAUUGUUUGAUGCAAACAAAGCGUUGCAAUAUGGACUAUCGACAAAAUAAUUUGGCGUUGCAAUAUAUGAUAUAGCAACAAACAAAUGGUGUUGCAAAAAACAUCAUACCAACGGAAACAUCAUACCAACGGAAUAGUGGGCGUGGCAAUAGAGUCUCCAAAUUGUAGCAACACAAUAGUUAGCGUGGCAAUAGAGGGUCCAACAAUAGCAACCCGUAUUGAUCGUUGCAAUAGAGAGGCAACCUCUAGAAACCAAACAUUUACUGUGGCAAUAGAAGGAUGCACCUAUAGCAACCACAAUAUUUAAUGUGGCAAUAGAGAGGCUACCUCUAGCAACCAAAUAUUUAUCGUGGCAAUAGAGGGUUCCACCUAUAGCAACCACUGAGAUAGCGUGGCAAUAGAGGGUCCAUCUAUUGCAAUGCUAUUGAUGUGUGGCAAUAAGGUCUAUUGCAACACCAAAUAUCGUUGCUAGUGCACCUAUUGCCACACUUUGGGUACGUGGCAAUAGGUAUUUCUGGCAACACUAGGUGUGUUGCAAUAGUAACUAUUGCAACACCCAUGAUGGUUGCUUAGACUAUGGCUUGCAACACUACAUGGUGUUGCAACAACACUCCUUUGUGUUGCAAUAGGGGAAAAUCUAUUGCAACACCAAAAUGAGUCGUUGGGCAAACUUUUCCCCACGGUUACUAUGGCAACGCCUGCCAAUGGAAAUUUUCCGUUGCCAUUUUGUCUCUCGCAACGAUUUUUGGUAUAUUGCCACACUUUUAGGCCGUUGCAUCAGGGGUAAAACCUUGUAGUAGAGACCGUCGGAUAUUCCGAUGCUAUGAUUUCUAGUAGUGUCGGAGCAAUUUUUUGGAGCUGAAAACUCAAGUGAGCCAUCAGCUGUUCCGAUGGCUAGGCAUCGGAUGAAUGGGUCGCAGGCAACGGAUGUUCCGAUGCCCUGGAUGAAGACUCAUCGGAGCAAGCAUUUUUCAAUUCAAACUUCCAAAGAGGUUUUGGCAAAAAAUACCUUUAGCACCGAAUACUCCGAUGCCUACUAAGUGACCAUCGGAUGAAUGUGUCAAAGCAAGCAUAUUUUUUUUUAUUCCUUCCAAAGAGGUUUUGGCCAGAACGUGUUCAGCACCGGAUAAUCCAACGCCCCAUGAAGAACCAUCGGAGUAACCAUCGGAUGAACUUUUCACUGUUACUUUUCCAACGGCUAGAAUUUGGAUCUGUGAGUGACCGGAUGUUUGUGGCGGAACUGCCCAAAUUAACCUGACUAAAAUGCACUUAAGUCGUCUGACACACGAUCAUGCACUUUAAGCAGGUCAACUUGGUCGACCGUCGGAUUUCAUCCGAUAAACCACUUACACAGGAUCGAGAAGCAUUGCUCACACGAAGGUGAGUAGCACAGAGAUUACAACAUUCCCAUCACAUUAAUGUAGUUCAACAAAUUAUUACAUCAGAGUUUUUUGAAAUUCAACAAGUUUGCAAGGUUCGACCAGAUGAAGUAAAACAAGCGGAAGCCAAAUGUCGAUACACGAUAUCAUGACGAAGCCGAUCAUGACAUCAAUAAUCCCUGCCCUCGCCGUCCGAGGAGGGAUCCCACUCGACUGUCCAGCCCGGAGGGAGCUGGGUAGGCCAAGUAGUGCCAGCAGCCAAACUAUUAACAUCACCUGAAAAGUUAAGCCACAACAAGGCUGAGCAACUAAUACUCAGCAAGACUGACCCGCCGGGUGAUAACUAUUUUCACCAAAACCUAGACAUGCAAGGCUUUCUGACUUUGGGUUUGCUUUGCCAAAAGCGUCUAUAGUCGGUCCUUACUUUCAAUAUUUUAGCUCAAGUUCUAUGUUCUUUAACAAGUCUAGAUUAACAACUUAUACUAAGCAAGCAUAGUUUCCAAGCAAUUAAAGAACAAGCAUCAAGAUUAAUAUCAUCAUCAUGUUCCAUCUUUACUCAGUGCAGAAUAGCGAUCAAGUAGUCCCAAACUGUGAGAGGUAGACGAAUCGAUUCAAAUUUAUUAACCAUGCAUGGCAAACCUAAUCUCACGACAUCCGCACACCACGAGGGGUCACUUCAUUUGUCAGCCGUCCCCAUCGAUCCCUUAGGCACGUGUUAGGGCCAACUGCCUUUGGCAUGCAAUGCUCCAUAAUCCCGGCCUCUGUCGUACUAUGACCGCACUUGCACCCACAUGAUGCACCAUGGGAACGACGUUCCAAGGACAGCCGAGGGAGUAUGACACGCCCCAGUUCAAUCAGGUACUAGGCUUCCCCAUCCCAUACUAGGUAUGAGAUUAGUACUUUCAAACACUUGAUCACGAAAGCCGACACGUUUCGACCUUAGUCCAAAUUCAUUUAGACAGACGGGGCAAACCACCAAGUAUCGAACAUAAGCCCGACCCCGUCCGUCGUCCUUAUAGUUGCAACAUAAAUAAAACAUUCAACUCCUAUAACUCGUGAGUGACAGGAAAUCACUCGACUUUUACCGGGACCUAUUAAGCAUUGCAACUACUCGACCUUAGCAACUAGUAUUCAGAUCAAGGUACUAAGUUCAUGCAUCUACGAUUUCAAUCAACUCCUACAAACGUAAAUGCACAAUCAUAAGCAUCAACAGUUGGCAUAAAUUUAAAACAUGGAAUUCAUGCACCGGGGCUUGCCUGGAAUCCACACUAGGUUAGUGUUUGUUAGAUGACACUCGCUUGGCGAGCAUCUCUCAUCUCGGCACUUGUUUAGUCCUUCCAUCUUCGGGAUAGCUCCACCAUACACCGUCUUCGGGUUCGAUUCCAUCAUCAUGUCCUUCAUGUGGUUUAUCUAACGUAUCUAGGUGAGAUGCAAGAUGCAAGAGCAUGAAUAUGAAGAACGAUAAAAUGAGAUGCAUUACACAAAAGCAUUUAAGGCGAACAUAAGAUCAUGCAAGUCAUAGGUACCUAGAGUUAUUUAACUGUACACCACACCACUUAUUAUACAUGGAUAACAAGUACAUUAGGCAUGGCCACAAGUGAACUUAAGUCAAGCUAUUGCAAGCAAUUAACAGUCAAGAGCUAAUUAAGCCUAGCAUCAUACACGAACUAGGGUGAUGGUGCUUAUCAACAUGGCAUACAUAAGAGCAUCACACAACCAGCAAGUUGAAGGUGAUCAAAGUAUAUUACAUUUGUUUUAAAACCACUCAUACACAAGCAAGUCACGCACCAACAUCGCUAAGGUUCUUGCAAGCUAUGCAGCAAGGUUAUUUUGUAGCAACAUGCAUACAUGACCAUUUAUUAGUUAAGUGCUUGACCAACAUUAUAUAACAUAUUUAUAAGAUUCUCAGUUAGAUCAAGUUAACUCUAACAGUGAUAUGAGCUAACUAGCCAGCACACAAGGCAACAUCAAGUUAAAGCUAAUAACUUAAGCACAUACACCGAAUCUGGACAGCAGCACAACAGUCACUUGUUUGAGCUAUAACUAGAGAUAUAAGCAUACAACAAAGGUGACCCAGACUUUCUAUAAAUUUAAGGAAAUUAUCUAAAACUUUGUUAUUAACACCAAAAGCUGAUUCAACAAAUAAGAAGGUGAGAACACACCAUUAGGCAGAUCUAUACAAACAAAGAUAGAAAACUGACAUGCAACUUCGGACAGCAAUAAGUUGAGUUCUAGUUUUUACAACAAGGUGGUUCUAGACUUUUUCGAAAGGUUAAAAAACCAUGCACAACUUUAUUGUAAACACCACAAGCUAAAACCAAAGUUAACCAGGUCAAGCAUCACAAAGAAGACAUCUCUAUCCAGAUUAGGACACAUUCUGUUGUUCCACUUCACAACCUCAUAACUGGAGAUUUAAACCACCAAAAGGGGUGAUCUUUAAUAAUUUGGAAAUCUCAUGAAAAACCCUAAAAUUCUUAUAUUAUCUCCAAGACAUGAUUCAAAGCUUAGCUAAGUGAAACAAUGCAAUCAUUCAGACCUAUACAUAGAGCAUGCAAAACCUGACAAUGAACUUGUAAAAUCUAUGGCGCCUAAACCAUCAGGCUUAUGGUCAUGGAAAUUUAACAUAAGCUAUAUUAUGAAGUUACCUACAACUUUUGUAUUCACCAUAUUUACAUAAAACAUCAUUUGCAUCCCGAAAAUAUUGCCACAACAUAACUGCUCUAGCAACCAUUUCAGCACAUAUGCAACAAGGUUCUUCAUUUAGUUUUUUUUCAACAAGGUAACACAUGCAUAAGUUAAACACAUAUCUCACAAGUACUAUAAACAUAAUUAAUUAGCAUUAGCUUUAGAUAACAUGGAACAUCAUAAACACCUUAAGCAAGAAUUACGCAGGAUGAAGAACUUAUACAAGCAACAUAAUCAUUAGUUGUUAUGUUAACAUGAGAGCAUACAUCUGAGUUAUAUUCAAAUCUUAACCACUACUUAUUAUAACUUAGCAUCAUAUGUACCCCUCAAAAAUAACUAUUAAAAGCUUCACAUGACCUAAGUAUAUGCAUCUACUACCAAACUUUCAUUGUCCAAAUAUAUAUUAAACAUAUAUAUUAAUUAUAGGUGAUGUGGCAAACAUCUCAUUUGGAGCUAAUAAUUUUAUGGAUGAUAGAUGUUAUCAAAACAUGGCUACUGUACAAAUUUCACAUGCUCAGAGUUUAUAAUUUAAUUGCUAUGAAAAAGACAAAUUGCUCUUGCAAGAAAGCAUGUAAAAACAAAAUAAAUCUAAAGAUCAUCAUUUCUAUAAACACAUAGCCAUAUUAUAUGUUAUUGUGGUAUAAAAACAUCAUACAAAGGUAAUGAAACCACAUUUCCGAUUUUUACACCUACAUAAAAUUAUAACUUAUUUAAAGCCAUUAUGAAGCAAUAAACAAGUUAAAUCAAUAAGUCAAUUACACUGCAUCUAAUGAAUAUGAAAUUUUUAGCACAGAACAAUAGCAUCAUUUAUAGCCUACCAUAAAAAUUUCACAGCAAUUUAAGCACCAAAACUUUAGAUAUGAAAAUGACAAGCAAAACAAGCUAAAAAUUGCCUAUUUAUCCAGAUUAAAUCAAAACAUGAUAAAAACAGUACACAACUAGCAGGUUCAAUAUUUUUCUUAGCUAGAUAGUGUUAUCACAAGACUAACACAAUUGGAAUCACAAUCUUUGGACUUCUAUAACUCAAGAUGUGCAUCUAACAACUUAAAACGAUUUCUAAAAGUACUUUGAAAGAAUAAAUAAAAACAUCAGAAACUUUCUACUAAACAUAUCAUAUUAUGACUCUAAUGUGUAAAUCUACUCACAAGGAUUCCAAAACGUCUUCAUUUGCUAUUUCAUGAUUUUUCUACAACUUACUAUGAAUUUUAAAAUUUCAGCCUUUCUAGAUCUAGAAAAUAAACAAAACCGAGACGAUCUUACGAUCUACCCCCUAGGUCUACAGUUUAAUUGCGCAAAACUCCCUGGAACUUCCCCAUAACCCCCUACACUUCCUUCUUCUCCAAAGAGGACCCCCACGCACAAACAGCACACAACACAGGCACGCACGCACGGGACAGGCACGGCGGGCCAUGGACUUGGGGCCGAAGGUGGGGGAAAGAGAAGGGGAAGCUUGGGGAGGGAGAGGGGCAGAACACGGAGGCCAGGAGGCUCACCAGAAGGGAGUCAGGCGCUUGGAGGAGGGUGUGCACAGGGAGGAACGGCACAGGAAGGGGGCGGCGGAGGAGCUCCCGUGGAGGGCGUCGUCCGAUGAGAGAGGGGGGCCCGGGAAGUAGCAAAAUGGAAUCGCGACAUCGAGGAGGCGCCGUGGCUACAAGGAAUCGGCCGGAGAUGCACCAACCGCGGCGGAUUUCGCCGGUGAAAUUUGGGGAAAAAGUGGAGCUCAGGUUCGUGUUAAUGGUGGAGGAGGAAGGGGAGGGUUGAGGGCUUUAUAUAGGAGGGGAGCGGAGAGGAUAAGCACGGGCGAGGUGAUAAGGUUGCCACGGCGUUGUUGCUUGCCCAUUGGCAGUGAUGGCGAGCUGCUGUGCAUGGCGGCCUGGUGGCACAUAUGCAUGUUCGGUGGAGCUCGGGCCAAUGGAGGGCAAGGAGGAGGCGUGGCAGACAAGGGAGGUCAUGUGGGAGAUGCUUGGGGGACCUAUGGGUGGAGAGGGGCCUCCUGGCAUGGCCAGAGGUGCCCAAUGGCCAUCCUCAGCGUCUGUGCCGGCCAAGGGGAGGCGUGCAGGUGGCUGGACAGAGGUUGAAGAUGACUGACGCGUGGGCCCGUGGAGAAAUAAAAUAUGCCAAUUUGACCCCUUAAACGACCUAGCUAUCGGUGUCCAAAAAUUCUCCAAAAAUACUCGUUGGAAAUAUAAAAUAACAAAGAAUCCAAUGCAACAAGAAUUAACUCAAAAGCUUUUAUGGUUUGCACACAAUCGUAAAAAAAAACAGCUAAAAUCCAACUUUAAAUGAAUUUUUAACCCAAGAAAACAUCUCUGAAAAAUUUGGUAAAAAUAUUAUAAAAUCACUAAAUGGUGUUUAGUAUUUGAAUAAAAUAUUUGUGAGCACAGUUGUAUGGAAUUAAUUGUGGUUCCUUCAAAAAUUUGAUUUUCCACCGAUAAAUAACAAAAUUCGGAGCACUUAACAAUGCAUGGUCAAAACACUCAUGUAUGCACAAAUGAUGCUUAUAAGGGCCAACAAUGCACAAAAAGAUGUUCAUCAUGCUUAAUUAUGCAUGAUGAUGCUCGUGAUGCGUGUCAUGAUGAAGCUGUCGUGUAUAACCUGUGUUUUCACACAAAGUUCGAACUAUGCAGUUUGAUUUCCAAAAGUGAAGGUUCGGGAACAAGGUACGUGCUAUAACUUUUAUAAAGAUCAACAAGGAAAAGCUCAACGAAGAUGGAUAUAGGAUAGUAGGACCUUUGGUGGAACGUCGGCCAAAGCUAUUUUGGAAUUGGAUUUGAAAUUUGACCGAUCGUCUACUCGAUUUUGGAACAUCCUCUGCCCAAAAUCAGAAGAAGUGCUGUGAGUGGAAGGUGUUCAACUUGAAAAGUUCUACCACUAGUAUAUUGGUCAAGAUUUAAGUUCUUAUAUAAAAUUUGUUUUUAUUUGCUUCACAAGUGGUUCUCAACAGGAGGGAGUUUUAACACUUGGUUCGAAACCUGAGGUAUUUUUGGACCUUAACUCUCAGCAAAUUAGAGUUAGUUCUCACUUAUUCCUUAUUCCUUUGUUGAUUCUUUGAUUUAGUUUCUUAAUCACUUCGAUGAUUCCCUAAUUUAGUUGCGUAAUUUCUAGGGCUGUCACAAUGUUCCAAUGCCCAGUGGAUGGAUACCAUCGGAUGUUCCGAUGGUGUGCUUUUCUGCAAGCACUUUUCGAACAGCUAUCUCUUGUUGCCUAGCCUAUAUAUACCCCUCCCGCAGGUCAUUUGACUUGCUCUUGAAACCCUCAAGACUUCAAGCAACCUGUGAGCAAUUGAGAGUGUGCUAGAUCCAAAGAGUGAUUUGUGAUUUGCUAAAUCUCAAGAUUAAGGAUAUUUCUUAGUGUUUGAGAGUGACAAGUGUGCAUCUAGUUCAUGGCUUAGUUGAGUGCUAGUCAAGUGAAGCAUUGAAGCUUAUUACUCUUGGUGAUUGAUGUCGCCUAGACGGACUUGGUGGCCCGAAGGUUCUUGGUGAGCUCUUGGAGAUUGUGGGAGCCCCAAGAAGAAUAUCUUGUACACGGUUUGAAGCUCGCCAUUCCGAAGAUGGAGAAGGAGCAUUCAUAGUGAAGCACUCGAGUUAGUGGCUUGGGGGAGCAAAACCCUUAGUGGGUGAUCCAACUUGGAUUAGGGGUAGCGUCAACUCCUCGAUACCAUGGGAAAAAAACCGGUUGUCUCGUGUCCUCAAUCUUUAUAUUUCAGCACUCUUUUGAGCAUUUACUUCCUACAAUUUACUUAUUUUUUUGCUCUUGUUCAAGUUGUGCAUGCUUUGCUCAUAUCUUGCCUUAGGAAAUGAUGAUCAUGCUAGUGUGUUCUUCUUGCUAGGCUAUUUUAUUGCUAGUGUGCUUAGUUUCUAGGUAUCAUCCUUGUAGAUCGGGCAACACGAGAAAUCUAGGCUAAGGUUUGUUUCUUAUCAUUCUAGAAAUUUGAAAAAGUCCCAAUUCAUCCCUCCUUCUUGGGCCACUGAUCCUUACAAUUGGUAUCAUAGCAUAGGAUUUCUUUUCUUAGGUUUAACAACUAGAGAGAUGGCUCCAGAAAGUGGGAAUGGCCCUUCUAAGUUUACCAGCUCCAAUUUCACUUAUUGGAUGCAUAGGAUGUCUAGUUUCCUUCAAGCUCAACACCAUGAUGCUUAGGAGGUUACGGUUUGCUGUUUGCCUCCCCUUCCUACUGAGAGUGAAGCUAAGUGGGAUGCUCAUACUAGGAAUCACAUCUUUGAGUCUAUAAGUGAAGAGGUGCUUGCUAGAGUUCACACUAAGGAGACCGCACAUGAGGUGUGGAAAGAGCUCAAGAACAUCAAUGUGGGCUCUAAGAAAGUGCGCGAGGAGCAAUAUGAGUUGCUCAAGGAUAGGCUUAAUGAGUUCAAGAUGCUUCCCUAUGAAUUAGUUGAACAAAUGUAUUCUAGAUUGAAUAUGCUUAUUGAAGAUAUUAAUACUCUUGAUAUUGCUACUAUUUCUGAAGCGGAAAUCAUUCGCAAGAUCCUUCACACGCUUCCAAAGCCAAAGUACAACAUUAUCAAGGCACUUCUCUUCAAGAAAUACUUAAGAACUCUUGAAGUGUUCAAGGUUGUUGGCAAGAUUCGCUCUCAUGAGAUGUUUUUGAUGGGUGAAAUUGAACCAUCUACCUCCAAGAAAGAUCUAGCUCUCAAGGCUAAAGAAGAACCCAAGACCAAGAAAAAGAGCAAGCCCAAGCCUCCUCCAUCCUCAAGUGAAAGUGAAGCUAGUAGUGAUGGAAGUGGUGAUGAUGAAGAUGAGGAUGCUCAACUCGCUCUUAUGAUGAGAAAGACCACAAAGAUGUUGUCAAGGUUGGGCAAGAAGGGAUACAACUACGACCCCAAGAAAAACAAGUUCCAAACCUCAAGAAGAUCCGGAGAUAGUGGCAAGAGGAAGUGCUAAAAUUGUUCAAGCUAUGAUUGCUUGUCAUAUGAUUGCCCUAAGCACGACAAGAAAAUUCACAAGAACAAUAGAAGAAAAGAUGAGGAGGAGGAGGAAGAAGACAAAGACCACAAGUACAAGAAGAAGAAUCAAAGCAAGUCCAAGAUGUACAACAAGAAUAGUGGUGGUGAUCGGUCCUUCCUUGUAAAUGAAUGGCUCACCUAUUGUGAGACAUCAAGUGAAGAAUCAAGUGACGAUGAAGACAAGAAGUUUGCCGGACCCGCCAUCAUGGAUGAUGAAGAGCUGCCACUUCUUCCACCACCUAUGUGCUUCAUGGCUAAAAGUGGUAACAAAGUGAGCAAUGAUAAGAGUGAUUCUUCCGAUAGUGACAAUGAUCUCUCGCCUAAUGAACUUAGGUCGCUUCUUGAGGACUAUAAUGACAUGAUCAAGAAACAAAGGGCUAAAAUCAAGGUUCUUGAAGAGACCUAUGCUAAGCUUAAGCAUUCAAAUGAUGAGUUGCUUAUUAGUCACAAGGACCUUAGCAAUGACCAUGAUGCUUUGAUAGUAUCUAACAAGUCACUUAGAGAUGACCAUGACAAGUUACUUGGUAGGCUCAAUGAAUUGAUUUUCAAACAUGAUGAAGUGGUUGUGCUUAAUAAGUCGCUUGAGUCAAGUUAUAAGAAGCUUAAGGUUGAGCAUGAUAGCUUAAAGGUGAAAUAUCAAGAACUUGAGUUUUCCUAUGAUGCUAUUGACCCUAGUGUGCAAGAAAUUGCUAGAGAUGUUACUAAGGUCAAUGCAUCCACUUCUUGUGAUGAAUCUAUUGCUUCUUCUUCCAGAACUAACCAUGCAAGGGAAAAAGAACUUGAAUAAGAGGUGAAGAGCUUGGGUUCUUGUGUGAAGAAAAUGGCUAGAGCAAAGUACUUGCACAAGGAGAUUCUCUUCCAUAAUGCAAGAUGCUUUGGUACAAGAGGACUAGGUUCCUUCCCUAAGCCCGUGGAGAAUGUUCAAAACUCACCGGAACUCUACGGUUGCUUCAUCAAGGAGGUUGGGACCUAUUGUUAACAUUGUUAGAGUACCGGCCAUCACAAAAGGGAGUUCCCUAUACCUAACCGUCCUCUUUCCACUUUGCCUCAUAACUAUAAAUCUAUGUUCAACAAUAACCACUUUUUGUUGAUAAAGCUUAAGAGUGGCAAGGUUGAGGCAAUGUUUAUUGUCUCCCAAGCCAAGAGCAAGCAACCUAGACAAUUAUGGGUUCCCAAAGUUCUUGUUACUCAUGUCAAAGGACCCAAUGUUGCUUCGGCUCCUAAACCUCAAGCUUAAUUUCUUGUGUGUAGGUGAACUACAAAGCCGGUGGAAGUCAUUGGGUUCUUGAUAGUGAAUGCACACCACAUAUGACCGGCUAUGUAAGGAUGUUCACCUCCUUGGAUGAGGAUGCGGGCGAUCAUGAACAAGUUCCCUUUGGUGACAAUUCUAUAGGGAAGGUAUCCAGUUUGGGUAAAAUAGGUCUCACUAAAGAUCUAACUCUCUCAAAUGUCUUGCAUGUUGAUUCUUGUAGUUACAAUUUGCUUUCUAUUUCUCAAUUUUGUUACCUUGGAGUAACUUGCACAUUUCGUAAUGUUGAUGUGACCAUUUCUAGCAAGGAGUCCAAGGAAGUGGUCUUCAAGGGUUUUAGGCAUGGUAACAUAUACUUUGUAGAUUUUACCUCUCAUGAAGUAAACUUGAUGACAUGCCUCUUCACCAAGACAUCCUUGGGUUUGCUUUGGUACCGACACAUUGCUCAUAUUGGCAUGAGCCAACUCAAGAAGGCUUUCAAGAAAGGAAUGGUGGUUGGUGUGAAGGAUGUGAAGUUCGAGAAGGACAAGUUGUGUAGUGCAUGUCAAGCCGGGAAGCAAGUUGCAAGUCAUCAUUCCUUGAAGGCUUUCUUGUCCACCUCAAGACCUUUGGAGCUACUUCACAUGGAUCUCUUCUAUCCAACCACAUACAAGAGUCUUGGUGGUAAUCUCUAUUGCCUUGUCAUAGUUGAUGAUUAUUCUUGAUACACUUGGACAUUCUUUUUAGAAGACAAGAGCAAGAUCGUUGGGAUCUUCAAGACAUUCACCAAGAGGGCUCAAAAUGAGUUUGAGUCCACCAUAGUGAAGGUUCAGAGUGACAACAGCUCCGAAUUCAAGAAUACUCAAGUUGAAGAAUAUUGUGAUGAUCAAGGUAUCAAGCAUGAGUUCUCAUCCACCUACAUGCCUUAACAAAAUGGAGUGGUGAAGAGGAAGAACAAGACAUUGGUCACUCUUGCAAGAUCCAUGUUGGAUGACUAUGACAUCUCCCAAAGGUUUUGGGCUGAAGCCAUCAACACCACUUACCAUACAUCCAACCGAGUGUAUCUCCACCGACUCAUGAAGAAGACGCCAUAUGAGCUACUCAUUGGGAGGAAGCCCAACAUCUCCUAUUUCUAAGUCUUUAGUUGUUAGUGUUUCAUCUAUAAGAAAAGUAAGCACCUAGGAAAGUAUGAAAGUUAUUGUGAUGUUGGUAUUUUUGUUGGUUAGUCAUCAAACUCCAAAGCAUAUAGAGUAUUCAAUAAUGCCACCCGCAUAAUUGAAGAAACUUAUGGUGUGGAGUUUGAUGAAUCUAAUGGCUCCCAAGGAGAUGGUUUUGCUUUUGAUGAUGUAGGAAAUGAACCACUUCGUGAUGUAAUGAAGAAGAUGGCCAUUGGUGACAUCAAGCCAAUGGAGGAGGAUGAAGCUCCCACAACUACUUCCAAGCAAGUGGAGGCAUCACCCAAGGAUGAGACUAAAGAUGAAGAUGUACCUACUACUUCCCAUCACUAUGAUGUCUCUUCCGAUGAAGAUGAUGAACCUGCAAGACAUACUUCAUCCACUCCACCAAGUCAAGAUGAGCCUCCUUCUUCACAAGACAUCCCCAUCACACAGGAAGAACCAUAAGCCCAAGUUCCGCCACAAGCUUCAUAUUCUACACCAAUUGUGAAGCAUACAAGGACGUCCCAAGAACCAUCCCGUUGACUUGGUCAUCGGUGAUCCUAACGGUGGUACACAGACUAGACGCACUUAAUAUGCUUCCUUUUGUAAACAUUACUCCUUUAUUUCUUGUUUGGAACACACAACUAUAGGUGAGCCUCUUGAGGACCUGGAUUGGAUAAUGGCAAUGCAAGAAGAGCUCAACAACUUCACCCGCAAUGAAGUUUGGGGUCCUAGAGGAGUGUUCUAGGAACAAGAACGUCAUUCGCACCAAGUGGGUCUUCCGCAACAAACAAGAUGCACAUGGAGUUGUGGUGAGGAACAAAGCAAGGCUCAUCGCUAAAGAAUUUGCACAAGUGGAAGAUUUGGACUAUGGAGAAACCUUUGUUCCCGUGGCAAGACUUGAAGCCAUUCAUAUCCUUCUUGCAUAUGCAUCUCAUCAUGAUAUGAAGAUGUUUCAAAUGGAUGUGAAGAGUAAAUUUUUGAAUGGUUUCAUAAAUAAGGAAGUAUAUGUGGAACAACCUCCCGGUUUUGAAGAUCCUAGAUAUCCUAACCAUGUCUUUAGGUCACACAAGGCUUUCUACGGGCUCAAGCAAGCACCAAGGGCUUGGUAUGAACGCCUACGUGACUUCCUCAUCAAUGAAGGCUUCAAGAUUGGGAGGGUGGACAACACCUUGUUCACAAAGAUCAUCAACGAUGAGUUUUUUAUUUUUCAAAUCUAUGUUGAUGAUAUAAUCUUUGGUUAUACUAACCUCAAAGUGUGCAAAGACUUUGGUGAUUUGAUGGCUAGGGAGUUCGAGAUGUCUAUGAUCAGUGAGCUCAACUUCUUCCUUAGGUUUCAAAUCAAGCAACUGAAGGAAUAAACAUUCAUCCAUCAAGUGAAGUACAUGAAGGACAUCCUCAAGAAGUUCAAGAUGGACGAUUGCAAGCCGAUCAAGACUCCAAUGCCUACCAAUGGACAUCUCAACUUGGAUGAGGGAGGUAAACCGGUUGACCAAAAGCUUUAUCGCUCUAUGAUUGGGUCGCUUCUUUACCUUACCGCAUAUAGGCCGAAUAUAAUGUUUAGUGUGUGGAUGUGCGCUCGGUUUCAAGCCAACCCUAAGGAAUCACACCUAAGUGCUGUAAAAUGUAUCCUUAGAUAUCUAAAGCUCUCCCCUAGCAUUGGCUUGUGGUACCCCAAAGGUGCAUUUUUUUGAGCUCUUAGGCUAUUCAGACUCGGACUUUACCGGGUGUCGAGUAGAUCGCAAGAGCACUUCGGGUGGGUGCCAUUUGCUAGGCAGGUCUUUGGUCUCUUGGUCCUCUAAGAAACAAAAUUUCAUGGCCUUAUCCACCGCGGAGGCGGAAUACAUAGCCGCCGAGGCUUGUUGUGCUCAAAUCCUUUACAUGAAGCAAAGCCUCUUGGGUUAUGGUGUGCUAUUAGAUAGGGUUCCCCUAGUUUGUGACAAUGAGAGUGCGGUUAAAAUUGGUAACUAUCCGGUUCAACACUCUCACACCAAGCACAUAGAUAUUCACUUUGAGAGAUCAUGUUGCUAAGAAUGACAUUUCACUUUGUGGAGUUCGUUCCGAAGAGCAAUUGGCGGAUAUCUUUACAAGACCUAUAGAUGAAAAUACUUUUCAUUGGUUGCGAAGUGAGCUCAAUGUGCUUGAUGUCUCUAACAUCAUGUAAUUGCUUGUCAUAUAGUUGCAUUUCAUAUGUACAUGGCUAGGGGGGCUUGUCUAACCUUGUCAAGAUAGUGAUGAACAUGGGUUUUGCUUGAGCUGGUGGACCUCUUUUUGCUCAAGGCAUGAAGUUUGGUUCAUCAUGAAUAAGCUUGACAAGGGCUCAAACUUGACAAGAUGGUUGUACUUUUCUUGUUUUGCAUCUUUGCUUGUCAUAUAGAAUGCAUUCAUGUUUACUUUCAUGCACUUGUCUUGCAUUGCAUUGCAUUGGCGUUAGGCUUGUCACAAAGGAGAUAUCACUCUUAGAAAAUGUUGUUCACUCUCAAUGUGAAUCAACAACUCAAUAAGUGUGAUUAGAGCAAAUAUUGUGCUUUCAUGCCUAUUGAGUCAUGUCCUAACGAACUUAAAGUUUCCAUCUCUAAGUUCAUAGGCAAGUGACUCAUACAUUCCCUUUUUGGAGUUCCCUCCUCUCUUUGGUUCUUAUUGCAUUCCUUGAAAAAUAUGUUAUCUAUCCCAAGUUAUGGAAUCCUAUAUGUAUUUUCAAAGGAGUACUUGAGGGGAGAGGUUGUCACUCAAAAUUGAUCCAAGUUUGAGCUGGUUUUGACCUGUGUUUGUCAAAUUUUUGGAUCAAGGAAGAGGCUCUUAGUUUAGCACAGCUUAAAAAUCACCAUCGGAUGUUCCGACGACAUGUAGGUUCCACCAUCGGAACAUCCGGUGGUAGGGUCUGUUUGAAAAUUUUUGAAGUGCUACAGUUUUUCAUCCGAUGCUUUCUUUUUGCACCAUUGGAACUUCCGGUCUUGUUGAAAAACUUGGCAAAUUUUGGACCCUGAAAAAAUUUGUCUGACGCAAUUAAUUAUCCAACCAUAGGACCUUUCGGUGCCCUAGUCAACGCGAGUUCUAAAUCGAGUCAAAAUCAAUCCGAUGCUCAGUCUGAUUCUCCAUUUUUCGAGCCAUCGGUUCAUCCGAUGCCUCUCUGCCGUGUGGGUCCACCUGUCUUAACCGCUUGACCUCUUUGACCUUAUCUCCAUAUCACUUUGACCCCGUGCCGCUCCCGUCCGUACAUUGCCGCUCCCGGGCGAUGGUCCUUCCUGCCACCUCCACGCCCUGCGUCGUCGCUCGUCGUCAUCGCCGGCUUGCCGAGCGUCGUCACCGGCUAUCUCCACCACCGCUCCUUUGCUCCACCGAGCGGAAUCACGCGCAGCCUGCGGGGGACCCUACCCUAGGAUUUCCACUGCCAGCGUCGAUCCCGGCUGGGCAUCGCCGUCUCUAGCCGUCGGCCGCCAUUUCCAAGAUCGUCGGUGCCUUCUCCGCUAUCCACUGCCAUGCCUCUCUCCAUCUCACAUAGUGGUGAGCAUUCCCAUCUAACCGCCCCACAUCUCUUUCAAACUUUUGCCAAUUUUCGUGCAAAUUAUGUUGAAUGGGUGGAUAAGAUGAGGAAUUGAAGGCUUUUGUCAUGAUAUUGAGUAGCAAUUUAGUCAUCUUUCAUUCUGUUAGACUCAGAAUCAUGUGCAAGUCUAUUUUAAGUUUUUCUGUUAAGGGCUUGGAGGUUACCCUCACUGGUUUUAGGUGCUAAAUCCAUUGAUUAAUCCCUGCAACACAUAAAAUCAUGUUUUUUUUGCUCACUUCUUGGUCAGAAUGGAUAUAUCAAGAAAAGUGAGCAAAUUGUCUAACUAUUCAAGUAUACAUUCCCUGAAAUUAUCUUCUUGGACAGCUAUACUUUCAUAUCCUAGGUGCUAGUUCUCUUGCACAUCUUGUUGAUACCUAAGAACCUUAUCUUAGUAUUCGACCUUUCAUCAUGUGUUGAGAAUGUCAUCCACUAGAAUUUUCAUACGUAGGAUCAAUCAUUCUUUUGCUAUGCUUAAGGACAUUCUUACCCUUAGUUACAUAUCAUUAUAUAUAUAUAUAUAUAUAUAUAUAUAUAUAUAUAUAUAUAUAUAUCGCCAUUCUAUAAUCUUUCACCAUAUCUCUUGCAGAUGGCAGGCGAAAAGAGGAAGGGUAAGAAGAGCAAGGUCAAUAAGGAGUGGGAGCGUGCCUUGCUAGUUUUGAAUACUCAGGGGCAGCCACAGAGGGGUAUUAGGAUUGGAGCUCCAGUUCAGAGUGCUUUAGGUGCACUGACAGAGCAGCCAGCAGAGCAAACUUCGACACUCAGACACUCAGGUUGUACUUAACAAACAAAGACAUCUACACCCUCUCCCGCACAGUGUUCCAGUCCUCGGACCCGCAGGGGGAGUGCUUAGACUCUAGCUCAGUCUAUCACACAGUCAGCUUGGCAGUGGUAGAAGGAUGACAGUGAGUCUUGUGAUGAUGGUAGGAGGAUUAGAGGCACUCAUCCAGAGGUGUUUGGUACUUUCCUUCAUGACUUGAGGAGCUUAUCGGGUCUGAAGGUGAAGAAGCUGAGAAGUGUUGGACUUCCAGAGUGGUUCCCACAUAGGCAUGCUAAUGUGGAUCCUCGCUUUUGGACACUUCUUCAAGAGAGCUUCCAUGCCUCUUACACUCCGGGUGGAUCUCAAUUGAGUAUUCACCGGAUGUUACAGUGGAUAGCCCUUCGGAUGGCCAUGGGUGGUAUCCUAUCCUUCUACAUUUUAAGUACAUCACUAGCCUGCCAGCUUUGCUCAGUGAGAGGUCCCGGUACAUAGCAAAUUGGGUCAGAGUCUUCUAUGCCAUAGUCUACAUCGCUACAGACAAACAUACAUCAGAUUCAUGUUUAUGGGAGAGCAGUUUCACUUGUCGAGGGAAAACUUGGCUUAGUUUCUUGGCGUUCCACUGGCCGAUGUGUCUCUUCAAAUGCUUUGCUACCUAGGGAUAAAGGCUUCUCAUUAUGCUCAUGACACAGUUAUUCCUACAGAUGAUCAGAUCACGCCGCUCUUUGUUCAGCUGUUCUUGCCAGGCACCCCACGCACUCCUGACCGCUUGACUCCUGAAGCGUACGUUGUUCACAAUGCCCUCAAGAAGUCCCUUCUUUACAGAGUGGGGAACACCGAGUCGAUCACUGGGCUACAGUAGUGGUUGCUUCUUCACAUUAUGACUCACGAGCCCUUUGAUAUCAUUGAUAUACUCUUGUGUGAGAUCGAGAAUGCUAUUAUGGAUGGCAUGGACAUGAACCGCCAGCAGCCAUAUGCUCAUUGGAUCAGCUAGUUCUUGGCUUGCUUGUCAGCUCGGAGGUGCAGACCAGAAUUGGAGAAGUCAAAGAUGUGCUUCAAGUUCUAUCAGCCUUCAAGGCCGAAUGACAUGCACGGGGGAUCCGCAGAGCACAGAUUUAGGUUGAGGAGCAAGCCGUUGCUGAGGCUGCCAUGGACGAGGCUACUCGAGAGGACGAGACACUAGCUACAGCAGAGGCUCCCAUGCCAGCUUACCUAGCUACGGACUCCGAGGAUUCUGAUGCGGAUGAGGACUAAUUGCCUUCUGAGCCUACUUUCAGAGUUCAUCGUGCUCACAACGAUGAGGCAGGGUCUUCUCUUCCAGGACAAUGCAUGCCAGAGCCAACAGUCCCUACAGUUACAGUUGCUCAGAUCACUCAGCCCGACACACUCACAGCAAUACUUCAGUCCUUGGCAGUGGGGUAGCGAGCUAGUGAGGAGAGGUAGCUCAUGCAGGCACAGAUAGCCCACCAGCAGGAAACCUAGCAGGUCCUUCUUGAGGGCAUUAGGCAGCAGCAGGAGGCCCAAAGGCAGCAACUCCUUCAACAGCAGAUGGUGUGCUUGUUGGUGUGUUAACAUGUUAUUUGGAUCUUGUGCUUGUUGGUGUGUUGACAUCUGAUGGUGUGCUUUUCUGCAAGCACUUUUCUAAUGGCUAGCUCUUGUUGCCUAGCCUAUAUAUACCCCUCCCCCCGGGUUAUUUGAGCUGCUCUUGACACCCUGAAGACUUGAAGCAGCCUAUGAGCAGUUGAGAGUGUGCUAAAACCAAAGAGUGAUUUGUGAUUUGCUAAAUCAAAAGAUUAAGGAUAUUUCUUAGUGUUUGAGAGUGACAAGUAUGCAUCUAGUUCAUGGCUUAGCUGAGUGUUGAUCAAGUGAAACAUUGAAGCUUGUUACUCUUGAUGAUUGAUGUCACCUAGACAGUCUUGGUGACCUGGAGGUUCUUGGUGAGCUCUUGGAGAUUGUGGGAGCCCGAAGAAGAAGAUCUUGUACAUGAUUUGAAGCUUGCUAUUUCGGAGAUGGAGAAGGAGCAUUCUUAGUGAAGCACUUGAGACUUAGUGGCUUGGGGGAGCAAAACCCUUAGUGGGUGCUCCAACGUGGAUUACCGGGGAGCAUCAACUCCUCGAUACCACAGGAAAAAAUUCGGUUGUCUCGUGUCCUCAAUCUUUACAUUUUAGCACUUCUUUUGAGCAUUUACUUCCUACAAAUUAAUUUUUUUUUCUCUUUUUCAAGUUGUGUUUGCUUUGCUCAUAUCUUACCUUAGGAAAUGAUGAGUUUCUUCAUAAUUAUUACUAUAUUAUACAAUUACUAUAUAUACAAUUCUUAGUAUAUUAUACACAUCAAACUAGUAUUAAUACAAUUACUAUGUAUACAAUAAUUUAUCCUCAUAAUUCUUAGGAUCCUCCCAUCGUGGUGUUGCUUGGUUUGGCUAAUGAAUGUCCAUCGUAAUAAAAUUCUCCUUUGAAAUUUAUCACCUCGUCCACCAAAAAUCCUAUGAGUGCUUCUUGGAUUGCCAAAAGCCUUUCCUUCUCCAAGAGUUCUUCGCGAAUCUACCACAUCUGUAAUUUGGAAAUAUGUGAAUGUUACACCAACAAUUAAAUAAAAGGAGCUAGAAAACGAUUAAUAAUUAAUAGGCUGAUUUUACGUACAGUUAUAUGGUCCGAUAGCACCUUGUCCCUCACGAAAUGGUAUAUGUGCUCACAGACAUAGUAUCCACAUAAAUUAUUCCCUUGUUCCUAUCUCAAGCACUUUAGUGGAAAAAAAAUAAGUUAUGAAAUAUUCGUGUUAUAGAAUAUACAAAAUGUGCAAACUUCAUGCAUACCGGAAAAGUUGUACUGAAUGUAAGUUUUUCUUUACAAUCACCACGAUGAUACUUAUGGAAUCAUUUCCAUAUGUUGUGAAUUAAAAUAAUGAAUAUGAUACAGUGUUAGGUGAAAAUUUAGGAAACAAACUUUUGCAUAGAGAUAAAGGUCCAGAAUUAUUACAAGUUAAGCAUGUCUUGAAUGUCUUGGUACUCAUCCUUUGGUUUUCUAAGUGAAUCAAACACAAUAGCAUUGCUUUGAUCAAUCAUAAUUAGAAGAAGAAUCCGGUGGUAACUAUGUACAUAAAUGUUCAUAUUAUAACUAACUAACAUUAAUUAGGUAAGGAAAGGAAAACAAAAAUAGACGGUACCCACACUUACUUAAAGUUGUAAGGCAGUAGUAUGUAUUACUUGUAAUUCUGUUGCUCCAAGAAUUUGUAUAUUGCGUCCAAUGUAGACUUUGGUUGAUCUCGUAUUUGCUUUUGGUUAACAAGCAUUGCGUCCAUGAAGCCAAUGUUGAAGUAGGAUUCUCGACGGCACCUCUAAAUUUACAUCCUACAUAAAAUGAAAUACAAAGUUAGUGGGACGACACACACACACACAAUAAUGAGUUGAGACAAAAUUAACACCUAAUAAACACACACUUACAGAACCCAGGCACUGAUAAGAUACACAUCAAGGGCAUCAUGAUGGUACACUUCAUAAAUAUCCUUAAAUUCCAACCACAGCAGCUUCUCACCUUCACCGAAAAAAUCAAUCAGUUUAACAAGAAGAGCGAACAUGUCCCUGUCAUUGGCCGACUACUCCAUGUACCACUGAUGGAAUUCAUACAUCUUAGUUGUGAGGUUCCAUACCAAUUCAGGCCUGACUAGAGGCUUGCCUAACUCAAAGGGCCAUCUAGGUAAGUCUUUUCUAGAGGUGGCAGGUUCAUCUUGCCCUAGAACUUCAGCAAGCGAGAGACCUGUCUCUGCCAUAAACUUAACAACCUUGAUUUGUUGUUCUAAAGGCAAAGUUGCUAUUUGUUGAGCUUCUUGAUCUGCUUGCUGAUCUUGCUGCUCGAGCUGGGGGACAGUACGCCUAGAUGACGACUCUCCUCGUUUCUUCUUCUGCCAAGACUUAACUAAUGAACAAUUGUAGUUUGAUAGUAAAGUCUUCUUGACUUCUUUUUUCAUGCCAAUAAAAAACUUUAAUUUGGCUGGAUCUACUAGCUUAGGCUCCAUCUCCUUCGCUUUUCUUUCUGCAGUGAUUUUUUCAAACCACUCCCUUACAUGUGCUUGAGAUGCAUCCUCCAAUUCCUCAGGAGUCAUAUUGCCUGCUAGCUUCUUAAUAAGUUCAGACUUCUUUUUUUUCCCUCGAUUCUUUCACCUUUGACUACCUUGGCUUGCAAGGCGGUGGUCGCAACUUCUUGAGAGGUGGUGCAUGUGCUUCCUUACUUUCACCAAACUUUAGUCCCGGCACUGCAGACUGUGAUCGAGGAGGGGUGUUUUGGUCAUCGUUGCUCCCGCCUGCUGGAUUCGAUGGUGCUGGAGAUGGUGAUCGAGCAGGAUGUGACGGUCCUGGUGGUGAUGACUGUCAUGGAGGUGGAUGUGCUGGAGAUGACGGUCUUGAGUUCUGAGGAGAUGGUGGUUGUGGGGGAUCUAUGGGAAGAAAUGAUGCCUCCUGGUCAGGGAUGAUGAUGUAACAUUUGCACCAUAAAGUGAUACCGCGAAGUGCAUCUCCUAUUGUUCUUUACCCAUCACCUCCCAGGAGGUCGAGCUCUAUGCCUUCACAUUUACUAUCACAAAUCUGCUCCAUCCCAACGCUAGAGUAGCUAGGUGGAAUCGCCAUGUCAUGAAUUGUCUGUCCUGACGGGAUUGGUAAAGCAGUUUCGUACGCCACCUGUACAUAUAGGAGAAAUAAAGAAGUUAUUAAACUCCUAAGGCGUGGAUCAAUUGAGAUAAUUGUAUAAAUUAUAUAUAUGUAUACCUUAAUAGUGAGGUUGCCAAAUGGUCUGUACAACUCACAUGAGAUGCGCUGAGUGAUGUUAUCCACAUGGUACCAUUGGUUGUCCUGCACAACCACGGGUAAGCUUGGCAUGUUCUCAUUGACGACCCCUGCAGAAGCACAGCUGCUUCGGCGUUGAGAAGGGCUGACGACGACGUUGGGAUCCGGCAGUGCUCCAGAUCGGGCCAUCUUAGUAACCGCUAAGGCCACUCGUCGAUUAAUUUCUUCCUGCAUUCUUACAUCUUGUCCAUGCACUUUAGCUUCUGACAUACGCCACCACCUCUCCUCUUAUUGUUCCUUUCUUCUCUUGCAACUUCUGUACGUGUCGAUGUCCCUACAGAAAGCAUACUUCCACAGAACCACCCCGAAGCCUCGACAACGUCCUGGGUGUUCGGGAUUCCUGAGCCAAAGUUAGCUCAUCGUUCUCUCUAUCAGGCUUAAACUUUCCCGCUUUAUAAUCUUCAAUGUUUUUGAUAAGCCUAAGGGCCUUCUCAUAUAUUGUUUCAUUGAAAUAAGUGUCCCAUCCUAAGGGCUAAGGGUGCCUCUAUGAGCGCAAUACCAAUUCUUCGAUCGAUCAGGCCAGUCAAUUGUCGCUGGUAUGAUACCUCGAUCGAUUAGGUCUUGUUCCAUCUUUCUCCAUUUGGGAAUUGCACUCCUAUAACCACCUUGCCCUAGAUGAUGAUGGUACUCCUUGUUCUAGGCAUUGCUUGAGUUGACACGAACCUUGUUCGCACUAUCUUCACUCCUCUUGUAUUCCAGAAAUAAGUUCCAGUGAUCUCUUAACUUUAGCCAGUAAUUAAAUUCUAGACUUCGGCCCUUCUUUAUAUAGUUACUAUCCAGAUUCUUCUUGAAGGCCUGAAAUUGGGUUGCCAUCUUCUUGAGUGUCCAGUCUUUCACAACUUUUUCAACGACACCAUCAGGAAGUGUGAAGUGUUUCUUGACAUCUGCCGACAACAUAUCUUUCUGUGUCUGCGGGAGCACGUAUGGAUCAUCUUUUUUACAGGACUUCCAUUCUCGAAUGUUGAUGGGCACAUUGUCCCUUAUAAUAGCCCCGCAUUGACUCACGAACUUUCCAGUGACUUUAUCGGGACCAAUUGACUGGUCCUCUUCUGUCACUUUGGGGAUGUAAAACCUUUCCUCUAUUAUCUCUGUACGACCUCGUGGCUUAUUUUGCUUCAUCGAUCCAGAGGGCUAAAAGUUCAAGAUUUGUUAAUUAGUAUAUAGUAAUAAUGAAUAUGAAGUUAUAGAUGGGGUAAAAUAAUAAAAAUAAUAUAUACCUCGCCAGAACCUUCCAUCAUGGCAAUGUCUUGUUCCGCAUUGUCAUCAACGUCGUGCUCGGGCUCAUCGUUGCCAUCACCGGACAUGUUGAGGAACAUGUCCGCCUGGCUACCCUCAUCCUCGGCGUAGGUUCUUAGAACGUUUGAGCCACUCCCGUCAUCAAUAAUCUACUCCAUUAUAUACAUUUCAUCAUGUUCGUCUCCCAACUAAAUUAAUAAUGACAUUAGUUAUACACACAUGUAAUCAUAGAUCCAUAAAAUUAAAGAUUGUCUGAAGUAGUACAAUUAAUAUAUAAACAUGAAAUCAUAUAACAACCAUGAAAUAAAAGAAACUGAUUGAAAUAUACACAUGAAACCAUAUAUUAAAUUAUAAAUAAAUAUACCUGGAAUCAUGUAUACAAUAAAACUUAUACAAUUUAUUACAUGAAACUUACAUGAAAUUAAACAUUAAAAAUUCACGCAAUUAUAUAUGCAACUCCUCUACUUGUGUAUUGUCACCAAAAAUGUCAUUCCAUUAUAUAUACAACACCUCUACCAAAUUUCUACUAUAUUAUACUAAUGUAUACUAAAUUAUACUAAUUUUCUAAGAUUUCAUACUAAAUUAUACCAAUGUAUACUAAAUUAUACUAAAUGUAUAUUAAAUUAUACUAAGCAUUUAUACUAAAUUAUACUAAUAUAUACUAAAAUGUACUAAUUAAUUUAUAUUAAACUAGACUAAUUUUCUAAGUACUAUACUAAUUUAUACUAAUUUACAAAUUUAUACUAAAUUAUACUAAUUUCUAAUAAUUUAUACUAAAUUUUCUAAGCAUUUCUAAUAAAUUAUACUAAUUUUCUAAUAAAAAAAUCCGACUUGCGUCAUCAAGCCGGGGCUUGUGUCAGCGUCCUACCUCUUCAACGAGAGGGCCGAGGCGCGGAGGAAUGGCGGCGGAAGGCGCGCGGGAGACGGUGGUGGGUUGGGGCACCGGGAGACGACGUGGCGGUGGGGAAGGAGAUGGCGUCGGGGAUGACGACGCGACAGAUCUUGGAGGGGACGGGGGACGUGGUAGCCGACGACGACGCGGCGGGGGACGGUGCGGCGGCAGUGCGACGCGCUGGCGAGAAGCGUCGAAGGGCGUCGGGGUGCCACAGGGAUGGCGUCGGGGCGUCGAUGGGGACACCGUGGCGGAGCUACUAGCCGGUGGCACGACGGCCAGGGGGACGACGACGACACGCGGUGAGGCAACGGUGGGGCCGGCCGGCCAAGAGGGGGCAGCGGCGCAGCUAAGGAGGAGGACGGAGAGACACGGGGAGUGCCGACGGUGGAUGCAAGGCUGGUGCUGAACAUCGACGAUGAGGCACGACGGCAACGACCGAGGAGCAGAACAUGCGGCGCGACGACGACGGCGGAGAGGAGACAAGGCGGCGGAUCGGGGUUUGUCUGGCGGCCCUAGCGCCUCCUGCACCCUCCUCGUCGCCACCUACCCCUCCGCGUCCUGUCACUCAGUCUGUGACUGGGGCAAUCCAGCCAGUCCACUACUAGGGCAUGACAGCCUCGACUUCUUCUCCGCCCUCUCCGAUUCCGGUGAAUUAUCGCAGUGCUCUGGCUCACGCCAAUUGGCGUGCUGCCAUGGUCAACGACUUCCAGGCUCUCAUCAACAACGACAUCUGGUGCCUCAUCCCGCAGCCGCUCGGUGCCAAUGUUGUGUUGGGCAAGUGGAUCUUCUAGCAUAAGUUCCAUGUUGAUGGGUCCCUCGCCUGGCACAAGGCGUGCUAGGUGGUUCAUGGCUUCUCCCAGCGUCACGGCAUCGACUACGAUGAGACCUUUAGUACAGUUGUCAAACCAGCAACGAUACGAACUGUCCUCAUCAUCGCCACUUCUCGUGCCUGGCCGAUCCACCAGCUGGACAUCAAGAAUGCGUUUCUUCAUGGACACCUCGUAGAUACUGUCUACUUCCAGCAGCCUCCCGGCUUUGUCGACCCCGCCGCCCCCAAUCAUGUAUGUCUCCUACAGAAGUCCUUGUAUGGACUCAAACAGGCCCCGCAAGUGUGGUACCAGCGGUUCGCCUCCUUCCUUUGUUUGCUCGGCUUCAUUGCCUCCACCUCCAACACCUCCCUUUUUGUCUACAAAGAGGGAUCGAACCUCACUUACCUGCUGCUCUACGUUGAUGACCUCAUCCUCGACUCUUCUUCGGCACAUCAUGGGGCGUCUUCACUCCGAGUUCGCCAUGAUGGAUCUUGGGGACCUGCACCACUUCCUUAGCAUCUCCAUCACGCGUUCCUCCCAGGGCCUGUUCCUGUCUCAGCGACAGUAUGCCUUGGAUCUUCUUUAGCGUGCCGGCAUGGCUGAGUGUCAUUCUACCAUGAUUCCAAUUGACAUUCAUGCCAAGUUUUCGGCACACGACAGCACCAAGCUCCAAGAUGGCUCUGAGUAUCGGAGUCUUGCUGGGGCUCUUGAGUACCUCACUCUGACUCGACCUGACUUGGCGUAUGCGGUUCAGCAGGUGUGCCUCUUCAUGCAUGACCCACGCGAACCCCACAUGGCCCUGAUCAAGCGCAUCCUGCGCUAUGUGAAGGGCACGCUCUCCUCCGGGCUUCACAUCAUCACUGGCUCUACUCAGUCUCUGACUGCCUACUCCGACGCCAACUGGGCUGGCUGCUUGGACUCUCGACGAUCCACCUCCAACUUCUGCGUCUACCUUGGCGACAAUCUAGUGUCUUAGUCCUCCAAGCGUCAGACCAUGGUGUCUCAUUCCAGUGCUGAGACGGAGUACCGUGCUGUGGCUCAUGCUGUGGUAGAGUGUUGCUGGCUGCGUCAACUUCUUCAGGAGUUUCAUCUCCCGCUUGCUUCAGCCACUAUUGUCUACUGUGAUAACGUGAGCGUUGUCUAUAUGACAGCCAAUCCGGUGCAUCAUCGGCGCACGAAGCACAUCGAGCUUGAUAUUCACUUCGUCUAUGAGAAGGUAGCGUUGGGUGAGGUCUGGGUUUUUCAUGUGUCGUCCUCUCAUCAGUUCGCGGACAUCAUGAAGAAGGGCAUGCCACUUCCUUUGUUCACUGAGUUUAGGUCCAGUUUGUGCGUCCAUGAUCCUCCCGCUUCAAUUGCAGGCGGGUAUCAGGAAGUAUAUGUGUAUAUUAGGAUGUAUUUAUCCUUUCCUUGUACUCCAAGCCAUAUUGGCAAUAUAUAUAGAGAGAGGUCACCCCCCUCAUUGGGGUGUGUGGUGUUUCCCAUCUACUUCUCUACAUUGGGACUAAAGCCCCACCAGAUUCCCUUGUCCUAACUAGCCGUUACAACUAGGACUAAAGGGGGCUCUUUAGUUCCGGUUGAUAUUACCAACCGGGACUAAAGCUCUCGUCGUCGGUGGUGGCUGGUCGUGGCCAUUUGACCCGGGACUAAAGCUCCUUUAGUCCUGAGUCCAAAAAGCAUUGAGACAUAUGUCUCUGGAUGGAAGGUCUAUUCUCUACUAGUGCACCCUAAAAACAUGCACAAAGGUUGUCACUUGAAGAGGAAGACAAUCAGAAUCUAUACAGGCAUAUCAUCGUCAUCAUCGUCAUCAUCAUCAAGAGUUUCUUCAUAAGCUUGUAGGAAGUUGUACCCUCCCAUUGUUGAACUAACGCUACUGGAAAAGUGAGUAUUCGUCCAACGUAUUAGUACCAAACGUCUUUCCAUCCGGUACUAACACACGGCAUUAGUACCGGUCAUCACGCACAGUGCCACCAGAGCCCCUAUAGUACCGGUUUGGAGGCUCAGCUGGUACUAAAUGGCGGCACAUAGAACGCGUGGCCGACAAGUAGAUUCUCCAAGGAAGCUAUUUAGUACCGGCUAGUGGCUUCAGCCAAUACUAAAUGGUGAAAAUACCAUUUAGUACCGACUAGUAACUUCAACCGAUACUAAAUGAAACCAUUUAGUACCAGUUGAAGCUCUCAGCCGGUACUAAUGUCAACAUUUGCUUUAUACAUAAAUAAGCUUCUUCCUUAGCUUCCUCCCCUAGCAAGCUCAACCAUUUGCUCGGGCUUCAUUUUUCUUCACUCAACUAGCUUCUUCACUAGAUUGGUUAGCAACUUCAUUCUCCCUCCUUUAGUCAUAAUAUUCUAGAUUUUUUUUGAAUGAGUUAGUUUUAUGUUAUAAAUGGAGUACUUGUUGAUCUUUUAGAAUGAGGAGAAUGGAGAGUUUUUUAGAGUGAGGUGAAUGGGGAGUUUUUCAGAAUGAGUUUUAUGUUAUAAAUCGAGUACUAGCUUGUUGAUGUUUUAGAACGAUGAGAAUGGAGAGUUUUUUAGAAUGAGAACUAAAUAUUAUAAAUACAUUUACUCUAUCUUUCCCCUACCUAAUAUUGAUCAAGUUUUUUAUCUAAUACAAACCUCUAUAUCCAUUUUUCACGUAAUACGAUGUAAAUGGACCGACAAUUGAUGUAAUACCUCCGCUCCUCCAAUACCAGAGAACAGAAAAACUUCAAGUCCACAAACUCUGACUAAACAUCAUAAAAGAAUUUUAAAAUAGUUUUCCAAACACCUUUUGGAGCUAGAUUUUCAUUAUAGAAGUAUGGUGGCCAAUUAUCAAUUUAGGUAGAAAUUUGUUCAUUAACCUUACUCUAUUGGUUGGUUUUGGAUUGCCAAAAUGAACAACCAUGCCUCUCUGCUCUAAAAAAUCGAAGAGGCGAAAAAAACUUCGUAAGUCGGGGUUCCUCCGCUCCGGUUUCGCGUCCGCGAGGCACCAGCGUCGUCCGCUUCGCCUCCCUCCAUCCCACGCUUCGCGGUUGGCGCUCCGAUCUCCAGCGCGUCCGCGAGGCACCCAGCGCGGUCUGCUGCGCCUCCUUCCAUCCCGCGCUUCCUGGUUUGUCCUCCGAUCUCCAGCGCGUCCACCCUACUCCUCCUCGUUCGCUCUGCGCCGCCGCCGCCGCUCGCCCUCCUCCUCUCCUCGGCUCGGUCUCCCUGCGCCACCGCCGCCGCCCACCCUCUCCUCUCCUCAGCUCGGUCUCUCUGCGCUGCCGCCGCCACCUGCCCUCCUCCUCGGCUCGCCCUCCGCCUCUCCUCGCCGCCCUGCACCACCGCCGGUGUUGGUGUAGGAUUGAGAAUCGAUCAUUCAGCACACCGGCGACGGGUACGGCGAGGAGGAUAGCCGGCCACCAUCGCCGCUCGCCCUGCGCUGCCGCCCGCCCUCCUCCUCGAGUCCGUCCACCGCAGCCACAGCGUCGUCCCGCUCCUCGGCGCAGCCACGGCGUCGUCCUUCUCCUCGACGCCGCCACGGCGGGGCUGCCGCGGGCCACCGCUGCCCAGUACAGCAGCCCCGCGCGGGGGACGGCAUCGCGGUCGUGGAGGUGAUGGCGGACACCGUUGCCAUGCCGAGCCAGCGUCCACGCUCACCUAGGUCUGUAGGAAGUCGAGGAUUCAGCAGAUCACGUCCCCGGCCAAAGGAGUCAUGGAGGAUGUGGACAUAGAGCACGCGGUUGCUCGCCAUGGCUCCUCCCCUCCAUUCGCGAGGAGGAGGCAGAUGCAGCAGCAGCACCAUGUGGAGAAAUUUUCUAGCCAGGAUAGUGCUCGAUGAAAUGCCGACCCGAUAAAUCGAAUCAUGGAACAUCCACAGGUGUGUAUCAUUGCAUCCCUUGAAUAUUACCUUUCAUGUUAAUAGGUUAUAUCUAUCGCAGGUCAUCUGAUUUUGGCCCUUCAUGCAUAGCCAUCAGUUUGAUAACUCCCAUCCUUACUUGUUAGAUCCCAAACAGAAAUUUGUCCUCCAAGCGAUAAUGUUUUUUCGUAGCAAUUCAUCUACUUUAAAUAAUAUCCUCCCUACUGCUAAAAAUUGACACUAAUAAGCUUGAUAAUUACCAUUCUUUACAGACACAGCUCUAGCAGAAAUGGCAUUGCAUAGGCCACUCUGAAAGGAACGCACACAUGAAUUUUAUACACUAGGUCCAAGAAAUCACAUCAAUUUUGCAACUAUGCAUAUGCACAUAUAGUUCCAAGAAUUGCUGGUGUCUAUAGAAUUGCACAAUGACUGCACAAUGCUAUCUUCUUAAUUCUAAGAACAACUUAUUGAAUUCUCACAGGCCGGUCUUCUCAGAUAAGAAUCCUCAAACUGUAUGUGAAAUCACUACCAAAUCGUCUUAUGUUCUACUUGAAAUAAUUACUUCCGGUCCUUUCUCAUACAUAUAUGUCUGUACAGGAAGGUUUAAAACUCUUAGGGUCAUGCAUAAUUUAUCAACACUCUCACGAUUCUUCCAGGUUUUAUUUCUGCAGGUGUUAAUUUUGUUGAUGUAGGUAUUCUACCCAUCUUACUAUUCUCCAUCUGUGUUGACAUUAAUCUUGUUCUUCGGAUACAUUUUUUUUCUUCCCUUUUUCAUAGUUUUAGUAACGUUUGAAGCAUCAUUUUGAUUUGUGUUCUAAAAUCUGUAUGUUGCAGUUUAAGGCACCACUGGUUGUGGUGGGGAUGCAACCUGCACCUGAUGGACAACCAACAGGUACAUUUCUUCUAUUUUCUUAUUAAUUUGUCCUCACGAAUGGCCCCCUGAAUAAAUUAUUUUUGUCGAGCCACCUAUGUAGAAUCUUUUUAAUUGGUGACUGGUGAUUCAAAUUUCUCUCAUAUUGAUGUUAUUAUGAUUUUUGAAAACAAAAAUAUUUACUGGCAUCUAUUUGCUACCAAGUUUGAUGAUUACUUGAACCAUAAAUGAUUAUUGUGUUAUCGUAGAUGUCCUGUGAGGCAAAAUGAACCAUAAAUGAUGAAUGUUGUCUGGAGCUAUCCUACCAACGUAUUGACUGGCUUACAAGAUUGAUUUUGAUCAAUGUCGUGUUUAAUAAAAUUUAUUCAGAUGCAUCUUUUCAUUCCAAUCUCUUUUCUAUGGCCAAACUAAUUCAAAAGCUUAUGGUGGGGUUAACUAGAUAUUAUGAUUCUUAGACCAAUCUGCCUGUUUCGUAAAAAAAAUUAGGUUUCUACUUAGUAUAGAUAAUCAUAUAGGAUGAUAAGCAUGUUGCAAUGCAGAUGUAUUCAUAUUAUUCAAUUAUCUGGUGUCUACUUUGCUCAAGCUUUCUAUUGAAUUUUCUAACUAUCUGUUGUGGAAAUAUUGUAAAUAUUAAGGCAUAACAAAAUUGUCCAACAUUAUCAGGAAAUUGUGUCCUACUACAUAUGUCCUUACACUGUACUUUGCAAUAGUUAUAGGUAUGUAUGACUACCAAUUUGUGCUUUGCAGUAUUUUUAGCUAUAUUUUCCCUCUGCAAUUAGAUCUUAUACGAACAAGCUUUUCAACAAGGACCAUAGGAAUCAGAGAUAAAGAUUCCAAGCUGGUUAUAUAACCCUUAAAUAUUUUAGUUAUCCAUGUCAAGUCUCUAAAUCUUUUUUCGCUUCUUUGCAUAUUGAUGUCAUGUGUUGUUGAUGCUAUGUUGAUGUCUUUAAUUGCAGUUCUAGGUGCUCAUUUAUUAUCUCCAUACUCAUCAGGUGCAGGGAGCUUCUCUUGCUUCAUUUGCUUCCAUCCUGAAGAUGUUUGACAAAAUACCACAGUUAACUAGCUCUGCCUCUACAGCAAGGUAACGUUCUUAGCUACAAAUUAUCAUUUUUAGGAUAUAAUAUGAUUUUUUUGGCAAGCUUUUAGUCCAGUGAUAUAAAUUCUACAUUUUCAAGGAUGCAAAAGGAUGAUCAUCCAUUUCCUGGGUUUUUUUUUACCUUGGUGCCUUCCUCCAACCAUGCCGCCCUCUCCGUCUGCGUCUCCUUGGCAGCGGCAGGCCAUGAGACAAGGAGGAAGCGAUGCAGCUUGACGAUGGGGCCUCUCCGCGCUGGCCCCUUCCUCAUCUCUCUCAGCACCAUCAUGUUCUCACUGUUGAGCAGAAAUGGGGAAUUGAGUACUGCUAGAAAGUUGAGCUGCCUACUAGGUACACAUUUGAUUGAUUGGUGCCUUCUUUGCUAGAUUACUUUUAUCAAGCUAAGGUUUGUGUGCUGAUUAGGGUGCAAUAACUAAAGCAUGAAAAGCAAAGCCUGGGCAGGAGAGGAGGAUUAAGAGCAAUCAAGUAUGUUUUCUUUUCUUCUUCAGGGGAUAUUCAGUAAUCAAUUGUUUAAAAAACUUACAUCUAUUUUUCUUACCUGUAACUGGCAUGGAGUGUUGCUAUUUGUUUUGGUUCGAGGCUGUGUAUUUAUCUAAGGGUAUAACGUGGAUUUUCUUUUCCAUUAGAUGCCAUGAGAGAACACUAUGCUAGAAAAUGAUUUUUUCCCAUUUGAUGAAAUAUAGUCUGAUUAAUGUGUCACUGAUACAUGGAGUACAUCAGAAUGUGUCCAAUUUAAACACUGAAGAACAAGACCAUUAAUAACUGUUCUUACAGUGGUUGUUUCAUGUUUUCUUUUGAUUCCAUACCCGUGGUAUUUUUUUAUCAGUGCACUCAAGCAUGUUAGUUUAAGAGAAUAACUUGUAGGAGAAUCCAUAAGGACUUGUUGAAACCUAUCACUUUGUGUUUAUUUCGAGUGAAUCUUUAGCAUCCCAUCUAUUUCUUGACCUACAUCUUAUAUAUGUUUGCUAUCAGAUCUGGGUCUUGCAAUCAAAACUGUUGAAUAACUUGUGGGAUAUUCAGUUUAACUUCAUUUGUGUCAAUAUUUUCUUUGUGAUAGGGCCUCACAGGCAAAGAAAUAGGAUAGAUGGGGGUGGCCUAUAUUCGUACUUGAUCCACAUGAUUAUUGUCCUGCUGAAUCCAAUGUAAAGGUUGUUCAAAUCGCUGUUAGAGCUUGCUAGAAAUGAAUACGAUGUAAAGGUGAUUAACUGUCAUAUAUUGUUUGGGAAUUGGUCACAUGAUUAUUCUUUUGCAAGUUGAGAUAAAGAGCAUCUAAGCGUACUUAUGCUUAUAUUAUUACUCAUUGCAAAGUCAUUUUUUGUUUCACAUUGGGGGCAUUUCGCAUGUGUUUGAGUUUGUAGAAGUAAAUAUUUCACAUGAUAAUAUUUGAUGCUUAUAGAUGAAAUUUGUUUUGCCUGUAGCAACGUAUAGACACGAUCCUAGUCAAUUAUCAAAAUGCGGUAUUUGCUCCAAAAGACAUUUGGACAAUUAUUUCAAGAUUCCUUUAUGAUAAGCCAGAGUAGGUGGACUCGUAGAUUUCAUGUUGUACCAUUAUUUUAGGAUUGGUGUAUCUUUUUAUCUCCCAAAUUAAUGGUCGAUCCUAUGUUCUAAAUAUCUCAUUUAUGUAAGAUUUAAUAUAUGCGCUAGAUUAUGUCAAUAGGUUCUUAGGAAUCGACAUUAUCGAUAUGAAUUGUAGUUUGUAUGUUGCGAUGAUUAGCUGUCACGAUGUGGACGAUCCUAGGUUCUAAGUAUCUCAUUUCUGUAAGAUUUAAUAUGUACCCUGAAUUUCAUAUGUAAUGUACUCUAAUUAAUAUUUGUGAUGAAUUUUUGUCUCUACUAUUUUAUAUAUAUACAUACAUACAUGUGACAAUAUUGUCGUAAUGAUUGAAAUAUUUUAUUAGAAUUAAGACAGUAUGCGCGAGAAAGAAAACUGCUGGAGGCGAACAGUUUCAGCUCCUGUCAAUUUGGCAACUUUAGUACCGGUUGGAAGCAUGCCCAGUACUAAAUGGAGGAAUUUAGCACCGGGCAAAGGUUGGAACCGAUACUAAAUGCCCCUAAUUUCAUAUCUCGCCAUUUAGCAACUUUAGUAUCGGUUGGGAGUCCUGCCCGGUACUAAAUGGAGGAAUUUAAUACCGUGCAAAGGCUACCACCGGUUCUAAAGCGUCCCACCUACAAAUACUUCAUCUUCUCUAAACACUUAGCAGUUUUCAAAAAUUAGCAGUUCCUCCCUCUGGUCGCACCGGCCUCGUCCUCGUUGCCCUCGCCCACCGUCGCUGCCUGUCCCCCAUAGCUGUCGCCAUCGCCAUCGCCCCGUCCCAGCUCCAUCGCCCCCAUCACCGUCGCCAUCGUCCCGUCCCCGACCACUGCCACCCAGUCCCUGGCCGCCAUCCCCAUCGUCACGCCUCUCCCUUCCCCACCUCCCACGUGAGCCACCGCCGCACCUCUCCCUCCCCCGCCUCCCCCGUGUGCCGCCGCUCCUCCACCGUGCGUCCUCCCCGGUUAGAUUUUCUUUUUUUGAUAACUUUGAUUUUGAUGCAUUAAAAUGAUUUUGCUACCUAUAUUGUAUUAAAAUGGCUAUGAUUUUGCUUGAAUUGGAUACUAAUUUGUAUUGGAUGUUAAGUAGUUAGUGAUACAAUUAUGGCAUAAGGCUAUAUCUCUUGGAGGACAUGUAGAUAUUCACGAGUAGCAUUGUGAUAGAAUUGCAGAUGGCUACGAAAUGAUGGUCUACAUUGAAAUAAAUGUAUAUGAUGUGCGUAUAUGACAAUGAAUUAUUGGUGGCAAAGUUGACUAAUUAAGAAAAAUAAUGAUAAAUUAUCUUAUCACAAUUUUAUUUGGACAGUUUGGGCUAACUAUGGCAAGUGGAAGUUUUUCUCGCCGUGGAAGUGGCCAUCGUGCUGGUGGCGGCCGUGGACAGUCAUUGGCUCGUCCUCGAGAAAUUCACUUCCCUAAUCACAUCAUUGACUUGCCAAAAGAUGAUCGAAGCAGAGGAACAAUUCCUAACAUAGUAAUAUUCUUUCCUUCUUGUAAUUGGUUUUUUUACUACACAUGAAUAAUUCCUAAAUUUACUUACAUACAAUUUAGCUUAUCGACAAUAUUAGAUGGCUGAAAGAUAUUAUCGAAACUCUAGGUGGUACUUCUCCUUUAGUGCAAUCCGAGAUAGUUAGUUCACGGAAUUUUAAGAGUAAAAAUCUCUUUUCAAGUACCCGUUCGAGAAACAUAGGCCAACCGGAUGAGAGUAUCAGGAUAGCUCAUCCCGAUGGUUUCAAUUGCCGCAUGGGAUCAAUUAGCACCAAGUAGGGUAACAUUUGAAAGGAUUGCCAUGGAGGCCUACCUACAACAGCGAUCAUGGGUACUUUGUGCUAGACUUGUCAAUUUUCGAAUAAAGGCCCUCGAGGAGGGAGAAACUUGAGAGGCUUUGUCAGCUGAAUCAAUAUGACAUGGUAUGGAACAUAUCUAAUCAUCCUUUUAUCUUUAACUAUGUUACAUCUUUUAAAUUUUAUCAUGUUAUUCUCUUCUUUUAGGAUGUCUUUGGUCAAACCUUAGUGGCAAUGAGCUUCAUGUGAUUCUGGCUCAAGUCUUAGAUAUGUUGAAUUAUAGUUAUACCGAUGGAAACCCGAUAUGCACCAAAGAUUUCAAGCUCCAGGCUCAUCUCACUUUUUACAGGCUAUUUCAGUUGGCGUCAUCUCCAUGGUUCGAGAUUUAUGGCAGUGCAUGUGACCGUCCUUGUGAUGUGUUAGAGAGUGCACUAAUUCAUGCUCUAGCUUAUAUUGAUGAAGUUCUAGACUUUAUGAUUGGAGACUUAAGCUAUGUGGCAUAUCUACGUAAGCAAAGUGAAUUAUUAAAUAUGUAGCAAGCAUGGAUUUACUCCUACCAUACACUUUUCUUAUGGAUUUGAACUUGUUAUCUCUAAGACCUAAAGUAUUGAUGUACGAACUAUUGAGUGUUAAUGAUUUGAAUGGUUGAUACUCGUGAUACUUGGAUUUGAAUGGGUUGAUAUAUUAACCUAAUAUUAUUAGUAAAAGCUCCACCAGAUACGAGUACGAAUUAAAACAAAAGGGUAAAAAAAGAAUAAACUUUAUUAGCGGUAAGUAAAACCAAUCGGUACUGAACUGUUGUCCGUAACAGUGCGACGUGGCCGGUGGCUCGCAGUUUAGUACCGGUUGAUGUUACCGACCGAUACUAAAUAGCGUAUUUAGACCAGUACUAAAUGGUGCUAACAAAGCGAUAAUGGUCAGGCGUCCGGUACUUACCGGGUACUUGAAGUAGAUCCUCCGGUAGUGUAAUAGGCAUCGAGGGGUCCAGCAGCUCGGAAUGAUCUAGAUAUUCCCUAGUUCACCAUAAAUACAACGAACUUUUGUAAAUCGACAAGCAUAUAUAGAUGCUAAUGUAAUACUGCUGCGCAACAAUAUACCCCCUGUUUAAAAUUAGAAGGCUUAAUUCGCCUGGUUAGGAAAAGCCUAUGAUAAAAGAUUAAUUCAUAAUUUAUAACACAAAUUGAUGUUAUUAUAUCCAAAUUAAAUAGAUACUUAUGAUUAAAGUUUUGUAUCACAUAAAUGAAAUUCUUGGUCACUUGAACUGACGGCAAAUAAAACGAUGAUUUGAAAACCAACGCAACUAGAGUAGUAUAUAUUAAGCAAAGCAUGUAGUAUAGAUCAACUCACUGUAAAAAGCAGAAUGCGUCGAAACUCUCGUAUCGUGGCACCGCGCUGCUCCUGAGCAUGCCUACCCUGCGGCAGGUGGAGUGGAGGACAUGGACGCCGCAGGGCACGAAGCUGCCGCCGUCACCGUCGUGGCCACCUUCGACCAAGAAGGUUGUGAUCAGCGCGUGCCGCUCGGCGCAGCCGCAGGGCAGGUACAUGUUGAUCCAGACGGCGCACAGCAUGCGGCCGGUAAGAUGGACGACCGACCCAGACCAUUCUUCGUAGUACGGCCACAGCCUGUCAACCUCCAUGGCCGGUGCAAGCAGCUUCCCCUCCUCCGGUGAGAACUCGUACGCAAACAGAUUAGCGCCACGGACGAAGUAGACCGUGUCAUCAUCGUCACCUCCGAAAUGGACCGCCCUGCCGGAGAUGGGUUUGUAAGGGGAUUUGCCAACAGUGGUGACAGGGGUCAAGGUGCCGGCGGCGCAGUCGGAGAAGAAAAUGGAGUCGAUAAGGGACAGCAGGAUGAAUCUGUCACGGAUCACAGCAUAGCCCUGGAGAUGGCAACCGCUCAAACGGGAGUUCACGAAAGGCUGGUACAAUAUAUCGACGCCGGCAGCCUCCUCCCAGGCAGCCUCACCGUCGUCCAGCCGGCGCACGACAAGGCGCAUGCCGCCGUCGCUGCUCCCGGUCUCGACGGACGGCGCCCAGAGCUUACCCCGCGCCGAGACGGUUACGUACGAGGUACGACCCGUGAGAAAACGGAAGGGGAGGCAGAGCGGACAGGCUCCUAGUGCCAAGGUCCACAGCGAAUCCUCUGACUGGAAACUGCAGCGCGGCGAGGGCGGGGGGCGAUCCGCAGCUGGAGAUGGCUCCGCCGACUCCGGGCGAGUGCGUGCACAAGACGUACAGCCGCCGGCCGUCGGGGGCCAGCGCGGCCGUGGCGUCGGAGACGAACAAGUUCUCCUCGUCGUCCGGGGACACGGCGAGUAACGGCUGGAGCGUGUCGUCGGUGCGGCCGAUGACCCGGCCGGAGGCGGCGACGCGGAAGCGGUGCAGGCGCAGGCGCAGGUUGUGGAAUGGCUCCGCGAUGGAGGUGCAGCCGACGAGGACCGACCAGAGGGGGCGGUCGUCGGCGUCGGCGUCGGACGGCACGCGGAUGUAGUCCCGGCCGGGAGCGAUACGCGGGAUCUGGGGACUGCAAUACUUACUCCAGCAGCAGACGCAUCGGAACAGGUCGCAGUUCUCCCGGUCCUCCGCAGCUGGGGAGCAAUCUGGGUUGGCCGUCGCCGCCAUGGAUCCGACUGUUGAGGCAGACGGGGUUUUCCGCACGGUGCCGGUGUCUUCGGGCAGGCAGAGUCUCGUCUCAGAUUGAUUGGAUGAUCGCAAUAGAUACGUACGUGACGGGUAUACAGAUAGGACCCUGAAGUUAUCACUAUGUCUAAGAAACUCCCCCAAACUUAAAAACCAGAAAUCUUACACCCUCCAAGUCUCAAAACCAGACAAAUUAGCCCCCUCGACCAUUUCAACCUGGUUUCUCACGUUGUUUUGCUGAUGUGGUAACAUGGGCCCACAUGUCGAUACCCACGUGACCAAUUUUUUUUGCCAUGUCACUUGUAUGGGCCCACUUCUCUCUCUCAAUCUCUCUCUGCUCCCGGAGCUUGCCGAAGCUCGUCGUUGUAGGCCAGAGCGAACAGCGAAGUCCUGAAGCCGUUCAAGCUCUUCUCUGCAGCUCGUCAAUAGCAACCGAGUAGACAGGUCAAAGAAGAAAAUGUAUCCAAUAAAACAUCUCAAGCCACCCAAGCAGAAAUUCAUCACAAAUGAAACAAGAAACCAGCCUCGAUUUGUGCCCGCAAAGCUCAGGGUGCUGGUUCCCUUUGCUUAUUUUUAGCACAUCACAUCGAAUGUUUAGAUACUAAUUAGGAGUAUUAAACGUAGACUAUUUACAAAACCCAUUACAUAAGUGGAGGCUAAAUGACGAGAUGAAUUUAUUAAGCCUAAUUAAUCCAUCAUAGCAANNNNNNNNNNNNNNNNNNNNNNNNNNNNNNNNNNNNNNNNNNNNNNNNNNNNNNNNNNNNNNNNNNNNNNNNNNNNNNNNNNNNNNNNNNNNNNNNNNNNUACGUUUUAAUACUCCUAAUUAGUGUCUAAACAUUUGAUGUGACGGGUGCUAAAAAUAAGCAAAAGUAACCAAACGGGACCUCAAUUUGGUGGUGAGCAGCACUGAUUUACGCUCAUAGAAAAGCUUACUGUAGCGCGCCUGACGUCGAGCCGCCCCGUGCUCCCAUCUUCUCCCUCCUCUCUCCCUCAUCCGUGUGACCUUGCCCCACCCCAACCGCUGCUGCUCCCCGCUGUUGAACUGGCGGAGCUCGCGAGCUGUGAGCAAGGGCUGGACACGAUGCGGAUCUCGGCUACAAUAGCGGCCAUGGAGGCUCUGUCACACGCUAGAGGGAGAGGGAGAAGAAAGGAACGCGGGGGAGGGAGAGGGAGUGGGGGGCGGCGGCGCUAGGGGAGGGAGGGGGAGGCAGGCGGCGUUUGGGGAGGAAGUGGGAGAUGGUGGCGCUGGAGAGAAAGAGAGAGCGGCGGGUGACAUGGCAUAAAAAACUAGUGAAAUGUGGGGCCAGCAUGCCACGUAUGUGACACGUCAGCAAAAUCGCAUGAGAAACCACUUUGAAAUAGUCAAGGGGGUCAGAAAUAUCCGAUCUUGAGAAUUGAAGGGCGUAAGAUUUCUAGUUUUUUAGUUCGGGGGCGUUUUCCAAGACUCGGUGAUUAGAUGAGGGGUAAAAUGGAAUUCUUCCAUACAUAUAUGAGUCGGAAAGAACUUCAGAAAAGUAGGCAAUUAUCCUUAUAUAUACGUUGAAACAAUCUAUAUGGAAGGAAGGCCCUUCCUAUUUAAAUAAUUAGGUAAAUAUUGUUGUGUUUAUACAAAUUUAUCGUAUAAAUUUUGAAACAAAACGUGGACAGGUAUUAGAGAGAAAUUUUGAAAACAAAAAUUCGUCGAAAAGUUGGAUAGAAAUUAGAUUAAAAUUUGGAAACAAAGUUUUGAAAACAAAAACUAGAGGAAAAUAAUUAAAUAAAAUAAACUAGAACUUUACUCUCAGUGAAGUUUCAUUCACAAGCUGGAAGAAACAAGAAAGGCAUUCCAGUGCUAAAAGUGAAGGAAUGACCUCAUACUUUCACUCCUAUUACAAUAUCUGCGCGAGCAACUUGGCACUUCUCUUCUUUGCCUCACGCUCGGCUGAUCUAAAAGUGAAGGAAUGAGAGGUAUUUAACGCUUAGUUGAAUUUACAGCUGUGGUAGUUAGCUAUAAAACAUGAACUGUAGCAGCUGAAAUGGUAUUGUUUGUCAACCAAUUUUCUUUGGGCCAUGUAGCUAAAACUAACAAGAGGAAACUUACCCAACGUCGUUGAAAGAGUUAUAGAUUGAAAAAUAUCGCUAAGACGCUAACUAUGACGAUGACAUAGGACCAGAUCCCAAAUGUUGAUGUCAUUUUCCAACUCGCUGAUUUUUGUGAUGGGGUUAAGGUGCAAUUCACAUGGAAUAGAUGACUGCGUAUUCCAAAUGCUGUAUUGCCUUACAGCUGAAAUUCAUCGGCCUUGGCAAAUUCGAAGAAACAAAUGACUAAAACGAUUAAAUGUUAUGUACGAGUAAUAUCCAAAGUAUUUAUCCAUACAUUGAGUAAGGAUCAAAUUAGAUGCUCUACUGAAAAUAUACAGGGACAACAAACUGAACAGCAGCAGACUAAUAGGUCCUCGUAGAGUGAACUUAGUUUUGUUGAGCUUGCAUUAGUGCUCCGCCUAUUAGCCGCUGAUUAUAUCCUCGUAGACCUCCCUGACCUUUGCAAAGAAAGCAUCCCUGCAAUGCGCAUCAGUUGUUUGAGCAUCUAACAUCUUUAACCAAGGAAAUCAGAAAAAAAUGUUGAUAAAAGCCUAAAAUGGGAAUGUCAAAUACAGCUAACUCAAAAGGUCUAUUGUUUAGCGAAACAACUUGGAAGUUGAUACUGAACUUUACUACAGGAUAGAGUAUGUUUGUUUGCCAUCUUAUCAGAUGGUUGGUAUGAUUAUUCUGGGAGCUGGAAAUGUUCAGGAUUUGCCUAUACAUAUUGCUUACUGGAGAAUCAUUACUUAAUUCAUUUGUUCUGUCGUGUGCAUAUUGCAGAAUUUUGUAGGCUGGAUAAGGUAGCUGCUGUACUGUCUCACUUACCUGUCAGACUUGAAUAGCAGGUUCCGGUACGCGAACCACUGCAUGAGAGAAGGAGGUCAAAAUGUGCAAUUCAGCAGAAAAACGGCAGCAGUAACAAAACUCUAGGCAAGUGAGAAAUCCUGCACACUUUAGGCCUCUAUACAAAACGUAAUCUGAAGUUUUUACUCAGACGCGGGUCUUACCCCACUGUAUCCAAUUCCAACAGCCUCCAUCAGGCCUGGAACCACGGGGAGCCUGUCAAUCGCCUGCAAGGUGGCACCAAAAGUUACCGUUAGUUAGUUUGGAUGAAUCGUGUAUAGUAUAGAAGAUUCAGAAACCUCCUUCGUCAGAAGCAUAAAGAAAGAGGUGACGGUUCAGUACCGAUACUACUCCACCGGCGCUCCACAUGCCGAGCGUGGCCGCGACGGCGAGCGUGGUCACCGCGUACUUGUCCUCGAUCCUGUCCCACUGCACGAGCAGCAAAGCCAGCAAAGAUACAUGUCAUCGUGCUGCAACUGCAAGUCUGCAACCAGCCUAUGCAGACCGCAGAGUGGAAACAGGACGUGCCAUGUCGCUCACGGCUCACGUACUCACCUCCUGUUUCAGGGCGUUGACGAACUCGGUGAACUCCUCGUUGGCAGCAUUCGGCGCCGCUGGCUCCCCCGCGGCCAUGGCCACCACGUUCCUCGCCAGCAGCUUGCCUGGAAAUCAACGAACAGGGCGUGUUUACCAAUGGCACUCAUGCACGCCAUGGAUGCCAUCGUGCCGUUGCACACUCACAGACGGAGACGGCGCGGGUCUGUCCCUGCGCCGCGAGGCCGAGGCCGGGCAGCGGCGGCAGCGCGGGCAGCCGGAGCCCGACGGAGCGCGCGGCGGCCUUGGCCUCGCCCUUGGCGACGGUCGGCGCGGCGGGGCUCGCCGCUCCCGUGGCAGCUGGGGCGGUCGGGGCCAUGGUGUCGCACGGCGGCGCGCAGUGAACUGGUCGGUGUCGUCACUAGGGCCGGGUGACGUCGCGGCGCGGUGCCGAGGCGUUAGGCGUGGGGGCACGUCGGCGGCUAAGGCUAAUAGCACGGGGCGCAGCAGCUGGGUGUCUCAGCCUCUGAGGCCGGCGGGAGGGCUCUCGGCGCGCCGCGGAUAAAGUGGGGCAGGCGCCGGACGGGCGCCACACGUUCCCGGGGAAAAUGAUAAGAUUGGGGUUGGGUUUUGCGUAUGGCCGUCGCCGCCGGGGGAUCGAUGUCCCCGUUUGCGGUGCAGGAACCCCUGCCGUCUGGGAUUAGCGAAGCUGAUGGAUCGGCCGGGGAUUAGUGGGGGAACUUUUUGUCGUGUGCCCGGCUGCCUGGCUUCCGGCACGUGUGGCCGUCUCCGUCCCGUUUCGUCGCCGUGCCCGGGUGCGGGUGACGCCCUCACCAAUCGCGCGGCUGCCGCGGGUAAGUCCCUUCUCUAGCGCUUAGUGGCUAACGUAACGGCUAUGCGUCUUUAGCUUUGAGCUUCUGGCAACUCCUCCGAUGCAGCUUUUGGAAAGUCAGAAGCUAAGAGCUGUGUUUGUAGGGAAAGCUAAAAAGAUUAGUUUGCUCUUCGUAACUUUUUAAAUUCAGAAAGCUGAAAACAUCUUCUAAAAAUUAGUAUUAACUUUUCUAAAAAAACCAACUCCUCAGGAAAGAUCAAAAACUGCGGCUCAGAGACCACGGCCGCGCGCGCAACGACUUCUCCGCCCGGCGCGAUCCGCGGUGGCAGCAGAUGCUCGAGUCGUGCCGCUGUUUUUUUCGCGCUACCGCCGGCGGCAACGGAUUAGGCGCAAGAUACGUGUGCUCUCCCUCGGCGAACAGAACAGGAACUACACGUACGACGAGUACUACAAGUUCUGGAGCAGGAACCUGGACCAGGAGCACUGCCUCGAGCUCUUCAGGACCUGUAGAAAUGGGAUCAUUUUGUUUUGUUCCUGUGGAACGUUCUGCAAAUAAGGUCGACUUUCUGCUCUGUUUGUUGCUGCAGAUCGAAAAGGAGUUUUGAAUACAAAAAUCACCCGAACUCGGACAAGAUCAUAUAGAAGUCAAAAGAAGUGUAGGAAUUCACAGAUGUUUACUACUAGUUUUGUUAUGUGGGUUACCACAUACACGUGUUUUUUCCAGAACCAAUUUCAGGAACACAAACCAUGAAAUUUACACUUCAGUUCAGCAACCUUUUUUUUUUAGGGACACUUCAGUUCAGCAACAGCUCCCCCAAGACACCUCCAAGUUUCACGACAUCUCCUGUCUUCUCGUCAUCGGAAAGUCCACACCGCCUGUCUGAGCCCACCCGCCCGAUCGGAAAGUCCACACCGCCAGCCACCCAGGAGCCAGCUCAGCUGAGCCCACCCGCCCGACCGGAAAGUCCACACCGCCAGCCACCCUAGGGACGAAGAUAUUAGGGGCAAGAUACAUGUGCUCUUGGAAGUUGGAAUUGCUCUAACUGAAACAAAGCACGUGGGCUGCGGGCGUGGGCCGCGGAUUUGUGCGGGGAAGCGAGAGACUGGGCUCUUAUUGGAGCGUUGUUGGGAGCCCCUUGUAUCUUUGUUGAGCCCAGACCCCAAAAAAAAACAGGCGGAGAAAAACACGAUUAGAGCCCGCCGGCCAGUAAAUAAGCCUGCCAUUCAUUCUUGGGCAGCUCUCGAGAGAAACUAGCCCACCACAGUCAGAUUAGACCGAUGAGCCAACUAAGUUGCUGAACUGAAGUGCCCCUCCAAAAAAAAAAAGGUUGCUGAACUGAAGUGUAAAUUUCAUGGUUUGUGUUCCUGAAACUGGUUCUGGAAAAAGUACAUGUAUCUGGUAACCGCACAUAACAAAACUAGUAGUAAACAUUUGUGAAUUCCUACACUUCUUUU
Molecule: long non-coding RNA, 56118 nt
Filed under: Setaria italica (foxtail millet)
Lineage: Eukaryota; Viridiplantae; Streptophyta; Magnoliopsida; Poales; Poaceae
Description: long non-coding RNA (SITA_LNC007046)
Source: RNAcentral